Molecule: long non-coding RNA, 51847 nt
Filed under: Musa acuminata (dwarf banana)
Lineage: Eukaryota; Viridiplantae; Streptophyta; Magnoliopsida; Zingiberales; Musaceae
Description: long non-coding RNA (MACU_LNC004523)
Source: RNAcentral
AGAGAGAGAGAGAGAGAGAGAGAGAGGGAGGUCAUCCCAAAGGACGAAACAAGGACAGAUGGAGUCUUCUAUUUUAACAUCCCAUUCUUUUUAUUCUCUCUCCUUUUUCAUGUUUUUUUUAUUCUUUUCUCUCUCUAUUAAACAUCUAUCCACAUACCAAAGUGUGUUUUUUUAAUGACAGGAAAACACAUCCCAAGAUUUUAGUCAUUUUUGUAAUGGGCAACAGAAGAAUCCUCCUCCAUAGCUGUUUCUAGUCAAACUCUCAUCAACCCUUUCACUCUGUAAUCGAGAUGAUUAAUUGUCAUUUAACUCAGAAAUUGAAAGUCUGAUGAUGUCUUUCACUGUGUAAUGCUCAUCAUCACAUAAUAAUACUCUCAGGGAAAUUGUUUAUGCUUUGGAUGUUCAGGUUUUACCUUUGAUAGUAUUAGAUAAAAAUAUAUGAGUAAUUUUCUUCUGCAGCCAAUAUAAAAAAAUUAUCCCAUCAAUGAUAAUUUGAACAGUGAAAUAUCCAAAAACAAUUUUCACAAUAAUCCGUUAAAUAAUCGAGAGAAAACCUUUUUUACUUGAAUAUAUUGGAUAAAGUAACUUAAUUACUCCACAACAUGGCAUGCACAAAACUAGAUUUGUGGCGAUCACAGUGCAGUUAAUAAUAAUGCGGAUAGAUUUGGCUUAUGCAAUCAAUACUCGUCUUCAUUAAUGGAUGGAAUAAUACAGAGUUAAAAGUAUACUAGCGAGUAAAUGAGGUAACCAUUAGUCAUUAUCAAGUGAUUCCUACAAGCUAUUACUUGUGACACUUUGGGCUUUUCUCCGUUGCGUGUUCUGACCACCUUAAGCUUUUCUUUAUAUAUAUAUAUAUAUUAUAAUAUUAUGCUUUAGUAGUAUAAUGAUAUAUUGAGAUUGCUUCAGUCCAAUCUGAGCUCUUCAUCUACAUGAAUUGGACUGUUCACAUCACUCUCUUAAUACUAUUAACGGGAGUUAGUGUCAUUCAUCAGAUGUUAUUAAUAAUUCUUUUAAAAAUAAAAUUUAAAAAAACUCAAUUCAUUAAAUGAGUAAAAAAAAUAUUUUAUUGGAUCUUUGCAAAAUGUAAUAUGAGUAAUCCCCUUUGUUAAACUUAUCAUCAUAUUUUUUUAUCAUUCACGAAAUAAGUCAAUAAUUAAAUUCUUUGAACCUUUUGCUAACUAUUUUAAUGUUGUGAAGAACAACCGACCAAUUUUAGAUUGAGGGGGUUAGGAUUCUAAUCUUAUAAAUUUAUACCUAAAACAUAAUGAUGGUUUAUAUGGUUCAAAAUCUUGGUUUAUAAACUAGUAAAAAUUAUAUUAGAUUACUACAGGGGUUCUGAAAUCAAAACACAUUUAUAUUUUGGAUAAGUAUGCAUAUCUAUGAAUAAACAUAUGGCUUAUCAUGAUCACGAAUUGUUUUCUCUUUAUGAGAAUAUAUUAUCACGAAAUAUGUUAGCUUGUGUGGUAGUGAAAACUAAUAUGAUUUCUCCCUUCCAACAAGGACGAAUCGAUUCGGAUCUUGGGUGCAUGUUGCUGCUCCUGCUGCUGACUCUUUCUUCAUAAACGACGCCAAAUAACUCAUCUCCUGCUGGCUGUCUCAUCCGGGUACGUCCAAAGCAGUCCAGCUUGCCGGCCUGCCACCACAGAGAGAAAGAGAGAGACAGAGAGAGAGAGAGAGUACUUAUCUCUCGCCGAGGUCUUACUGUUGAGAGAGGAUGACUGUUCUCCUGCCGAGGGCUUCGCGUUUGGUGAGAGAGAGAGAGAGAGAGAGUAACAGUAGAAAGAAAAGAAAAAAAAAAGAAAGGAAGAAAACAAGGGCUCCUUCCAUCUCCUCCUCCUCCCUCCUGCUCUUCUUCUUAGCGUUGCUAGAGAGAGAGAACGGGGCACAUGGAGUGCUAGGCGUGGGUGCGGCAACGGAGACUAGCGGGCGCGGCAUUCCAAGGCCGGUCCAUCACUCCGCACGUUCGACUGCCCGCUCGUUGCUGCGCGAUGCCCGCGCCCACCGGCUGGGAGAGUGGGCCACGGUAGCACGUGAUGUGAUCCACAGGCCCCAGCAGGCAUACUUCCGACUCGAUCCGGCACGCAGUUUUACCACCUGUCCGUCUCCGACUAAAUCAGGUACACUUCGGACUAUUUAGUUUCUAUCUCUGCCUUCUCACUCACAGCCUAAAUCCAAACCUCCCUACCAAAUGAUGCCUUCUAAGAGUGUGUGUGGGUUGGGUUGGGUCUUUUCGCGACCAAUAGUUUACAACUCUAAAAUUAGAAUGGACUCCUUCGCUCCCUUCUCACGUGUAUUGUCUUUUUAUACAUCAUUGUCUCCUCGUCUCACUUAUUUGAAGGGACCGUAUUCUGACAAUGUGAAAUGAGUGCACCUGCAGUCGGUACUUGUAACAUUUUGCUUGCCUCCUAUUGGUUCCAUUUGCGAAUCUGGUUGCCUCUGCUCCUAUCUAAGUGUCGGUGGCAUCGUUUGGUUCUGUGAGUAAUAAACAUUAAUGUUUUGUGAGCAACGAAACACCACAAGCUUUUAAGGUAGUACACACUCUCACGGCGACUUAAGUUUCCAAGGAAAUUAAUAUUUACAUACAAAAGCUCACUUCAAAGCUUACUCGUCAACCUCUACUGAGCCCAGUUUGAAUAUUUGACCAACUGCUUCAAGAGCAGAGAUACUCCAACUUUCAGCAUGCCUGAUGAUCUGAAAUAAUAGAACAUCAAUCCAUAUGGCACAUGAAUUAAUUAAUCUGUACUCCAUACAAACAAUACAUGGACAAAGAAUUAUCGCAUCUUACUUUGAAAUCUUCACCUAAAUCAUAUGUGGUUGUUCCUCUAAUACCAAUGAGAGGUCUCCAAGGUAACUUUAAAUAGGUCCUGCAAAUUGGGCAUUAUGAAAUAAAAGAAGAAAAACUUAAAAGUAAGUUCUUUGGAAGUAAUACAAUUUUUUUUAAAAAGAAAGUACAGUAAUUGAACCAGCUAAACUAACAGAAACUAAAGAUUAUCUUCUUUCUGAAGAUAUGCUUUUGGGAUGUUUUGGUUUUUAGGAUAUGAUUAAAAACUUAGCAAAGAAACAUUAAGCAUUAAGUUUAUGUUACCAUGCAAAAUUUCGAUGACAUAAUGAAUCCUUCAACAUCCUAUAUAUUUAAUAUUCUAUAGAAGUCAAGGCCUGAUAGUCUAAUUGGACCAGUCCUGGGCCCCCUAAAGCAUAUUGCAAACUGGACCAGUUUCGAUUUUUGAUCAAGAUCGACUGAGAGUGAUCCUAUAUUUUCCGGGAAAUCGGGUAUAUGCCAGGAGUUGAACACAAGCAACUGGAAUUGGUUGGAAUCAGCCAAGAAUCUGCAUUGCAAGUGUUAAAUAGCCACGAUAUUGGUCACAGGAUCGCAAUAUUGCGUGUGCUAAAUAGCAAUAGAAAUUUGAUUAGGUAGUUGUCAAGUAUCAGAUGCCUAGAAGAAGAAAACUUGGGAAAAGUUUAAGUACCUUAGACACCAUGUUGCCAGAAUGAAGUUCAUUUCAUAAUUCUGACCCUACAUAAGAAAACAAUAAAUCAUCAUAAUGAUAAACAAACGAAUAAGAUCUUAUCUGUCUCCAUCAUGAACAUGAGAAAAAACAAAACUAGUUCAUGUUUGUAAAUAGUACUCAUUUUUAAUACUCAAAACAGUUGCUCUAGAAAGUAAAUUGCUAUAGAUUCUUCGCCACUGAGGCAGAGUUGAUCCUAUUUUGAAAAUCAAUACUACACAUCAUUCUGUAUAUACAUGCCAGCUUUUGCAAUCUACAGAGAGGAAAGGUUGCAAAAUAUUUUUUGGCAAGCAUUCAGCUAUGAACACUACAUUUUGAAUCUUGACAAUAAAACUAUUCGAGAUCUUUCCUUUGCCCAGAUACGAAAUACUGAUCAUCUUCAGCUAUUUGCAGAAGUUGAGAUCUAAAAAUCCAUAUUGGGCCAAUUGUAAAUACGUAAAAAAAGUGUUUGGCUUGUCAUAUAGAAUAAUAUAUAUUAUCAUGCCAACAACAAAGGUUUCUUUAGUAACGUUCCAAUAUUUCUUGAGUAGAAACAGAGACCUUCUUAAGAUAGCUUUUAUUACCAAUCAAUAAGAACAAAACUUUGUCAGAGAGCAAAUAGAACACAACCCUAUAAAUAUCUUAAAUAACCAGCUUUACUGUAAAAAUCAAGUAUCUUGAUAUAGGAAAAGAAAAUUGAUCAAAUCAAGUAAGAGCUAUGUAGGCUGUUGAGUUCCACAUUCUUGUGUUUGAAGCUGGGUUUUUAAUUUCGAAUAAUAUCGCCUGUACCGAGCGGUAUGUACCGGUCAGCUAGUAGACCGGUACGUGGACCGCCCACUACCGGGUGGUACCAUCGAUUGGGGCUGUUUCCGCCCUAUUACCAUGUGUAAUCGGUCGGUGACGAUCAAUUUCGACCAUCGCCGCCCACUAUGGGACGGUAUUAGCCGAGGGAGAAGGAAGAAGAGGGAAAAGAAAAUGGAGAACCUGUAGAUCUAGCGUCGCUCUCCCUCGACGAUCCCGAUCCGCCGUCACCCUCCCUCGCCGGACGUCAUAGAUAAGAUGUCGCCUCUUCCUCGUCUGAGGCGAUGAGGCCUCGACAUCGUCGGCGACUUUUCCAUGUCCGCACGGAGAGAAGAAGCCUCGAUGACGUCGCUGAGGCUUCACGGGGAGAAGAAACGAGGCUUCCUUUUUUAUAUAUAUUUUUUAAUAUUAUUAUUAUUAUAUAUAAGGUAUGUAAUACUGUACCGUACAAGUGUUUCGAGAUUGGCUCGGUACGGUACAGUACCGUGCACCGAGCGGUACACCAGGGCGUAUCAGAGUGGUACACCAAGGCGUACCAAGCGGUUUUAUAUAUUUCUUUCUUUUACUGUAACACUGCAACACUGCUACACUGUAGCAUAUUCCGUCCGGUAGCGGGCGGUCCGUGUACCGGUAUACCGUCGGACCGAUACAUACCGCUCGUACCGGGCGGUACCAUUCAAAAUUGCAUACUAUGAUUAUAUAUAUAUAUAUAUAUAUAUACCGAACGAUAUGCCAAAGCGUACCGCUCAGUAUACUCGUAUCGUACUGUACCGAGUUGAGCUCGAUACUCUGGUACAAUACGAAAUUACGAACCUUGGUUUGAAGCACCAAAACCAGAUGCUAGAUUGGAUACCUAAACCUAGUCCAUUAUAGCAUGCUAAGAAUUAAAGUACUGACCUUUCAAAAAGAAAUCAUUAUUAUUAAGAAGGCCAAAACUAUUACUAAAUAUACAAAUAUCCAAUAGGCAUGACAUUAAAAAUUUCAGGUGAAUUAGACAAUUUAACAUUCAUGCUGACAAUGAUCAAAUGACAUGAACAGAGCAAGGAUCAAAAUUUUGCCACUUUAUUGAUUACUUAAACAUUUAAAUAUUUUUUUUUGUGUGUUAUACAAGCAUCGGAGAUAGUGCAGGUAAAGAGGAUGGGCGAGCCCCCAAAUCAUUGCAGGAAGAAUAGUUGCAAAAAAGAUUUGUCCACAGUCUACUAAGAAUUCUGGCUCAUUACUAAUACCUUUAAACAAUGUGCAAUCCUAAUUUUUUUUAUCUAAUAUCAAGCAAUAAAUUUUGUACAUUAUAUAUAGUGAAUGAUAUUGAAGGGUGUCGAAUUCAUGGUCUUAGGCAUUAAAUUGACAAAAUAAAUAUACCUUCUCGAUAUUCUCAAGUUUAAGGGAUGGGCGAUCAAAGAAAGGAACGAGCAAGUCCAGAUUCUGAGAGUACCGGUCCCUGCCUAGCCAGAACAAGAAUAAAUAGUUAGAAUUUUUUCUACUUGCUGAGUCUCUAAGUAUUACUAUUUGGUGAAGAACAAAGAGUAUUCUUUAUCAAACUGAUCUAGAUACUACAGUUACAAUUUGAAACAAUUAUUUGGCAGAGGAGAACAACUGGAUCCAUCUGCUAAACCUUCACACAAGAAUUCUAGAGAACUCAUUUUGACUCAAGAACUCACCAAGUUAACUCAAAACUCAGCAUUAUAUGUUACCUAUUAUCAAGUCCUUGAGUCAACCAGAUGAAAGGUUUUGAAUUUUAGAAAAUUUCUUGUACCUAAGAUCAUUAUAUUUGACCUUUCAAAGCGACUGAAGACAAAACAACUGGAACUUAAUGAAAUAAUAAUAAAAACUUUCUGAAAUUCGUCGAAAGGUUUCACAUAUAAGAUUUAGAGCCAGAUAUUUAAGGAAAAGAAAACUACAAAGAUGGUGGUGGCUAUCACCAUGUCAAAGUUAAUAACAAAAACAAUUGUAAAAUGAGGAUCUGAGAAAAGUUACAAAUCUAUCAAAGUAUAACAAAACUUAAUCAUAUCUGUCAAAUUAAUAAGGAAGCCUUAUGUUUGUUUAUCUCCUGAUAAAGACAUCUACCAAGCUCUUGAUAAAGAAUUUCUUUGUGGAAGUAGAACAUUAUCCUUGUUGAAAUUUGGUUCUCCUGAAUCAAUAAGUCACUCUGAUUGAAUCCUAAGUAUAAUAGUAUUAAAUAUAAAAGAUAACUGAAGAUGAAAUUGAUUUAUUGCAUCAUAAACUUUAAAGCUGAAAGUGUGAAUCAAAUGAAAAUUGGACUCCACUAAAGUUGAAAUUAGAAAUUGUAUAAUGUAACAGAAGUUGGAUCCAUGAGAAAAGAAUGAAAUAUAAGAGACUGUAUCAAAAUUACCAAGAGAAAAGAAUUUGAUUACAAACUUUUAUUUAUUUUAUUUUUCUUCUUCUUUCUAGAACAAGAAAGGCCAUAAGUUCUUGAAUGUUGAGGUUUAUCAUUUUAGUGGAGAUAAUGUUGACAACAAUCAUCCAAUAAAAAAAUUCUUCUAAAAUUAUAAGUACUAUUUUUUCUUUAAAUCAAUAGAUCUAAGCAACAGAGGAUUAAUGAACUUACAUUGUAAGGCCACAUAAGCAUAUUGCAUUCCAACAUUUAAUUGAAAAUAAAGGAGAAAUACAUAUCAAGAGAAAUAUGUUAGCAAAUAACAUACCACGAAAAUUGAUUGUAGGAUCUUCAAAUAAGCAAUCAUCGGCAUAUAUGUCGGAGGUGAACUCCCCUAUUAUUCAGAGAUGGUAUUAGUUGUUUUCUCGAACUUAACAAGCCGCAAUACUAUAGCGCUCUUGUUUUAUGCAAAAGAAUGACUAGAUUGUAAGAGUCUUUGCACAACGUUAUAACGUAUUCACAGGAGAAAUUUUUAGAUGAGUUGUUGAAAUGGAAAAAUAAAUAAAUAAACAUAUGUUGUUUUGUUUAGCAAGAUAUGACAAAGAACCAGGGCUUGCAUCUUAAGGAGUUCAAAUUCUUAUUUGUUAAAAAUUUGAUACUUCCUGUGAAGAAGACAUGAUCACAAUGGACAAAAGACCUAUUGAAAAAUAUUGAUACUCCUAUUAGGUAAAGAAUCUCCCAAGCUGGUCGAAAGUUUUGCAUACUUUCACUAAAUCUACAAGUUAGCAAUCGUGGAGACAAUCAAGAAACAGAGAAGUCACCAAAAGAUGUGAGGUGGGAAGUUCCUAUUCUUUGUAGGCAUGCUAGUUUUACUAUUUCCUUUACUAUCACACCUCUGUGGUGGCAUCAUCUUGAUUUACUGUGUUCCCAAUUUAUCUUCAAUUUACCAUACAAAUCACUGUACGGAUAAAGAACAUAUUAUUCGUACAGAUGACAGUUUAAUAUUUUGUAUUUGGAGAAACCUGUCAAUGGUUCCAAUAGGGUCAGUUUGGCAAGUUUGAAACAGCAGAUCUACUCAUUUACACAUGCUAAUACAACCUCAUUGCACCCUCUACUCAUCAAUAAUAUCGAAUGCACAUCAACACUUCUUAGUUCUUGUUUAAGGAUUUCAUGCAAAACAGAACCAAGACAAACAGAUUCGAAUUUUCGAGAAUAUUCAAGGGAGAAAUUACCUAAUCUUAUUACCUGUAAGGAAAUAAGCACGAUCAUAAUCCGCUCGAAGAAUUCGGACGACGUCAUCUACGCUACGAGCCAAAGAAGGUGCUUGCGCCGCGGCUUUCGCCUCAUCUCUGCCACAAGGUUGCGAUCAUGAGCAAGAUAUGGUGAUGGGAGGAAACGUGGUGCCGCUGCUGACCUCUGUUUCUUGGGAGAGAGGAGCCUGAGGAUCUCCGUGACGCCACCGACGGCCAGUUGCAACAGCGGCGGGGCUCUCUUCCCAUCACGCCGAGAGGUCGAGCAGCGAAAGGUGGGCGAUCGCUGCGCUAGGGGAAGCAACUUAGAAUAGGCGGCUAGAGAGAGAGAGAGAGAGAUUACCAUGCGCUGCUUGAGGGCGGGAGAGGAAGAUGAGGCGACGGAGGUAGAGAUCGCUGCCAUCCACACCAACGGAUGGCGAACUGGGAAACGCUGACGAUGAGCGGAUUGAAAUGGGCUCUUAUUUUCUGAAAAGCCCCCUAAUACUUGUCUUUUUUUAUCGAUUAGGCCUCAAUAAAACCCGAAUUGGCCCCAAAAUAGCAUUCACCGGUUCAACGUCUAAACCGGAAGUUUCCUCGAAAAUCUCCAAACUUUUUAUCGAUUAGGACCUCAUUAUGGGAUGGUCUAAUUGAAUUAGCGGUUCAACCUCCAAACCGGACAGUUUUCUGAAAGGUCCCUACUUAUUGAAUUAUCCUUAUAUUCGCUUAAGGCCCCAAAAUAUACUACUAUGUGUUCACUUACACCCCCCCCCACCCAGUGUGGCGUAAACCCCUUACCACCAUACUAUGAUCGGGUAAACCUUAAGGUCUAAACCGGCAUAAAUGAUAGAAAUAGGAAUUUUCGAAAAACUCCCUAAUCGUUAUUUUUUUCUCUCUAUUUUUGCUGAUCAAUUGAACAACAUAUUUGUCAAAACAAAACAAAAAACCCCAACAAGGACUUGAGCUUGCUUUGCCCCGAGCAAUUCUCGCGGAAAACAAAGAAGAAGCAAUAAUAGCUGAAUCGAAUGCACACACUGUUCUUUCAAGCUUUGGGUAUGCCAUGACAAACAUGCAGGACAAAUAGAAGAAAGAUCUCACUAUCUACUCGGUUGUAAGAGAACAAAUGGAAUACAUGAUUUCACUGCAUACAAACUGUUCUUAACAACUCCAUUACUGGGCACUCUGAUAAACAUCAGGUUGGCAGACACAGUAGUUUUCAUCCUUCAUCAGCUUACAAAAGCUUUUCCUCAGCUAACCCAAAAACAGAUCUUUGUCGAGAUGACAAAAUGCUCAUAGUUUUGGUUUCUGUCGAACAUAUGGAGGCCAGUAAAAACCAAAUGCUCGGAUUCACACAUCAAUGUACAGGGAAUUACUCAGGAACAAGGAUGGUUGCAGUUGCGAAACAAGUCACAAUGUGCAGCAUAGAACGGGUCUCCUUUCACUCGUUCUCAGCAAUGUAGUUUGGUAGCUCACCCUGGCAAAGGUACUCAUCGCAAUGGGAAGCAGAUUCCCAGCCUCUACGAAGUCUAAUGAUAUCCUCUGUGAAUGUUGAACCUGACGAUCCAAUAAAAACGGUAGACAAAGCACAAAUUGUCUUGUCCAGCAUGGCCUCAACCUGCAGGCAAUAAGAGACUCGAUCAAAUACAUGAAUAUGUGGAGUACAAAGAAAUAUUAACUUAUCUUUUUAUAGUUUCAUGUUUGAAACAUCCAAGCAAAAAGGUUCACCUGACUAUCUCCUCCUAGCCGAUUUCUGUACAACAAGGCAUCCCAUUUUUCAGCACUAUUAUGAGCUGGCCUCUUGACCAGUGGAACUUGCUUGUCAUUUAACACAACUAAUGACUGGAGAAGAUUUGUUUCGCUCUCAGCUGCAUCUGUGGAUAGAUAAAUAACUGGGGCAUCGGCUUUCUCAACAGUCCGCAGUAUACACUCUGCUGCCUGAGGAACGGGGAAAAAGCAACUCUCCUUUUUCACAUUGCUGCAGGCAAUUAUUGGAAACAAAGGUCAGAAGAUCAUCACUUUCUUCACUUUACCACUAAGAUUCAGAAAUUUCACAAAAUCUAACAUACACCUCUGGUUUUCUCAGUUCUGCAGAAGCUAAAACUACACAAAUCCCAACUGGAGAACUGAAAAGUAUCAGCGGAAGAAAGCAACAGAACAUGCUUUUGAAGAUUUAUGACUGUGAUAUAAACCAUCACUACAUGAGAUUGAUCACUCUUAGAAGAGACUACAGCCAUUGAGUUCUUUGUAACCCCUAUGCAAAAUGUUGAAGAUGUGUGAAAUUAACACACAAGAGAAUGUAUGUUGCUGAGUCUGAGCUAGAUUGAGUAAUAUACACUAAAUUAUCGUCAAUUCCUUAAUAUGGACCUGACCCAUACAAACAGUGGGCUGAACUCGGUUGGGUCCAAGGGUCAAAGCAUAUCAUAAAUUAUUUUUCAACCAAAAUUCCAGGUCAAUUUGAAAAACAGAAGAAAUGUAUACUUGAUAUAAACACAAUUUGGCGAGCGGGUCAAGAUCUUUUAACUUGGAUCCAAUCCAUACACCCAUUGGAUCAUGUUAAGUGGAUUGAAUUUGGAUUGAGCUGAAAGGUUGAGGGUCAAGACUCCCGUCCCUAAUCUAUUUGCAACUUCAGAGAGAAGUGUUUGUUAGUUACUUGUCCAUGCCAAAUAAUUGCCAACAAGAAUUUCCUUACGAGUGAUGUUUGAGAUCUACUUCACUAAGCGUAUGGCAUCACAUGCACAAUGCAAACCUUAUAUAUGAUGUGAUUUACUUUACUCCUAAUAUCAUGAUAUACUAGGAUUAAUGUUACUUGUCCAUGCCAAAUAAUCAUCACCAAGUUACUUGUCCAUGCCAAAUAAUUGCCAACAAGAAUUUCCUAAUGAGUGAUAUUUGAGAUCUACUUCCCUAAGUUUAUGGCAUCACAUCCACAAUGCAAGCCUUAUAUAUGAUGUGAUUUACAUUAAUCCUAGUAUCAUGAUAACAUCAAUUAUUCAUGAUGCUACCACAAUCACGUUUCACUUCAUAUUCACUAAAGCCAUUACUUUCUUUCAAUGUGAGAAUUAAAUACUCAAAAUGAUUGAUUUGUUCAUUACGAUGCAGUAAAGUGAAGUUAUAGUUCAAUAAACUAUGCUUUCCUGAGAAAUUCUCAAAAACUCCAUCAAAUAUGUUAUACAACAACAACAUCAGCAAAACCAUAAGUUCCGACUAUUUAGGGUCGGCUACAUGGAUCUUUUGUCACCAUUGAGAUUUGUAAGAUGUCAUAUAUUUAAUUAAGUUUAGAAUACUUAAAUCUUUAUUUAUAAUUUUCAUUAAAAUCUUUUUAGGUCUUCCUCUACCUCUCAUAGUAUCACCAAAAUUAAUUAUUUCACCUCUUCUGACUACUGCAUUCGAAGGUCUACUCAGCACAUACUCAUACCGUCUUAAAUAAUUUUCUCUCAUCUUAUCCUCAAUCGAAGCGAUACAUAAUUGUUCACGAAUAAAAUUAUUUUUUUCCUAUCUUUCCUAGUGACUUGACACAUCCAUCUCAACAUUCUCAUCUCGGCAACAUAAAAAUUUGGUAUAUGUUUUUUUUUAAUUAUUAAGCACUCAAAUCCAUAAAGCAUUGUUGGUCUCACAAGUGUCUUAUAAAAUUUUUCUUUUAAUCUCAAAGGUAUUCAAUGAUCAUACAAGACUCUUGACGCCGGUCAUCAUUUUAACUAUCCUAUUUUUACUUUAUAAAUAAUAUCUUCAUUGAUCUCUACAUCUUGCUGAAUAAUUAAUUCAAGGUACUUAAAACUUUUACUUAAAGAGACUUUUUGUCCAUUCAAUUUAACUAUAUUCUCUUUUUUAUUUCUAUAAUUACUAAAAUUAUAUUAUAUAUUCAGUUUUAGUCCUACUUAAUCUAAAACCUUUAAUUUCUUAGCUUGCCUCCAUAGUUUAAGUUUAUAAUUAAUUCCACUUAAGCCCUCAUCAACUAAAAUAAUAUUAUUAAUAAAUAACAUACACCAUGAAGGUCUAUCAUGUAAGUGACUAGUAAGCUCAUCCAUUAUUAAUAUGAAUAAGUUGAGACUUUAAUUUGAAUCCUUGGUGUAGUCCUAUGCUAAUAGAAAACUCAAUAGACACACUCCCUAUAGUUCUAACACUAGUAACUAUAUUAUCAAUCAUAUCUUUAAUAACAUCAAUAUAAUUAGCAGAUACAUCUUUUUUUUCUAAAACCCACUAGGAAUCCUAUCAUAGGCUUUCUCUAUGUCAAUAAAAAUCAUAUGCAAUAUGAAACUCUUUCUCUUUCUUUCUAUAUAUUUUCAUUAAUUGUCUUAAUAAAUAAAUAACUUUCAUAGUUGAUCUUCUAAGCAUAAAAUAAAAUUGAUUUUUAGAUAUAUUUGUUUCAAGCCUUAUCCUACUUUCGAUAACUCUUUCCUAAAGUUUCAUAUAUGGAUCAUGAUUUUAAUUCUUUUAUAAUUUGAACAAUUUUGUAUGUCACCCUUAUUUUUUGUAAAUUGGCAUUAAAAAACUUUUUCUCCAUUCAUCAGGCAUCCUUUCCAAUCUCAUGACCUUGUUAAAUAAGCUAAUUAACCAAGCCACUCUCUUGUCCCAUAAACUUUUUUAAACCUCAAUAGGGAUACAAUUAUGCCCUAUACUCUUAGCUAUUUUCAUCUUCUUUAAUGUGUCUUUAAUUUCAUUAGCUCUAAUUUUAUGAAUAAAUCUAUGAUUAUUAAAUAUAUCACUAUUAUUUAUCAUUAAAUCUAAGUCCUAUGUGAAAUAUUCAUUAAAUAAUUUAUAAAAAAUAUUUUUUCAUCUUUCCUUAAUCUCAUUAUCAUUAACAAGUAUUCUUUGAUCUUCGUCUUUAAUGCAUCUGAUAUUAACCAAAUCCUUACACUUCCUUAGCCUUAGUAAUUCGAUAUAUAUCUUUUUCCCCAUCCUUAGUACUUAAUUUAUUAUAAAAAUUAUCAUAAGUUUUAUAUCUUAUCAUACUAAUUGCUUUUUUAGUCUCUUUUCUAGAUUCUUUAUAUCUUUUAAGUUUUUUCUCAUUUAUAUAAUUUUGUCAAUCUUUGAAACAUGAUGUUUUGGUAAAAAGUGUGUUUUGAAUUUCUUUGCACCACCAUUAAUCCUCUCUUAAGUUUGCACCUCUACCUUUAGCUUCACUAAGAGUCUUCUUUGUUAAUCUUCUAAUUUUAUUAGUCAUCAUAGUCCAAAUAAUAUUAAUAUUAUCCUCAUCUAAAUUCCAAGUCGUCUCCUUUUUCAUCUUAUUCUUAAAAGUACUUAUAUUAUCAUCUUUAAAAUUUCCCCAUCUAGUCCUAGUAAAAUUUUUCAUUAUCUUUUUCCUUUUUAUUUUCUAUAAUAAAUAUUUAAUACCAUCAACCUAUGUUAAUUCAUCAAACUUUCGUCGGGUAUCAUUUUACAAUUGUUACAAAUAACUUUAUCUAGCUUUCUUAUGAGAAAAAAGUCCAUUUGAUGACACUUGUGUUCGCUCUUAUAAGUAAUUCUGUGAAAUAUGUUGUCUUACGAUAAUAUCUGCCAUUAACUAGGAUCGAUACUGUAUAUGUGCUCUCAUGUAACCAGAUCCACUGGUUUGAAAAAAUUGCCACGCAAACUAGGGUUGUAUUCUAUGCAGAUUAUUAUUGAGUAACCAGCAUUAUAUUGGAAGAUAAGGAAAAAUAUCAACUUUAGGACAAUUGAACUACGAUGAUCAUCUAAGUUUACUCUACCAGAUUGCAAGAAAUAUAAAAUCAAUGUAAAGAAGUAGAAAGCAGCAUAAGCUUCUGAAAACAACAUAUGAUCAAAAUAACCUACGCAUCGAUCGCUGAGGUUACCAAGGACCAGUUACCAUAAUUCACCUACGAAAGAGUCAACAGCAUGACACACUUUUCAAGCUCACAACUACACCAUAUGCCACAAGAUGCUUAAUUCUAGUUAAGCUUUCAAAGAAAAUUGGAAGUGGAACAAUAACAGUCAACUUACCAGAAUUUCAAGAACCCAUGUCGACGGAAAUGCAGGGCUAUGAAGUUGCUCCCUAAGAAAGUCUGCACGAACCGCUGUGCUGUGAGAUAAAUGAGCCGACUUGGUUGGAUCACCGUCUUGCACUUAUGAGCAAGCGGGCCUCCUGGCUGCAUUACCCACUCUUCUUCCACAUCAGCAUAGAACAUAUCUCCAAUGGCAAUCACCUCAUCAUUUGAUGCAAAUUUGGGCAUAAUGUCUCCAACAACCCUUUUCUUUUGUGUCUUCAACUUGGCAUCCUCAGGCCAAGCAGCCUCAAUCUUCCCAAGUGAAAGCCCCAAGUUCUUCAACCUCUUAGCGUGCUCCUCGUCCAGAUAGCAAGGUGGUGAUGCAAUGUAGCAGAUAAACCUAUUGAUCCUCAUCUUGUUCUUCUUCAUCUCUGCAAACUCUUCGAACGAGAUCACGACCUUCCUCCCAAAGCACUCGUUGAUAUGAUUGAUAUCCAAGACCCGGUCGUACUGGUAAUCCACCUUGGAGCUCGGGAGGACCAGGAUGCGGUCGAGAAGCGCCGCGAAGAACAUGUGCUUCUCCAAGCAGAUCAAAUGGUUGGACAUCUGACCCGACAAGCAGAUCGCGAACAAGAAUCUGUCCUUCUUCGGCUUCCACUCGAUCGUCCUCCUACCGGCAGGUCUAUCCACCUUCCUGCACACACCGGUGCCAGGACCAGAUACGUCGAAGCUACCAUUCUCGUCCAGGGCCUCCGACGAAAGAUUCCCCAACCGGUGAGACGAGAGCAGCGCCCCCUGGAUCUGCUUGUUCAGCUUGAUCUGCCGGAUCAGCGUAGAUCUGAACUCAUCCAUGGUCGACGCCGGAAUUGCGGCAUUUGGUCGAUCGACCUUGCGAGAUGUGGUGGAAUUCGGAGACGAAGUGGAAUUUGGAGCCAAGAAAGGAGGAGAAGGAAAAGAAGCAGCAUCGGCGGUGGCUGUGGCUGCGGAGACAGUAAGAUUCCAAAGCCGCAGAAGCUCAGAUUGCUGGUUCUUGAGGAGAUAGAGAGCGUGGAGCUCGGCCUCCCGCAUCCGGUCGCCGGCAACGGACGAAGAGGAGGAGGAGGCGACGGGGAUGACGGAGACGCCCCGAAAGAGGCGGCCGAGAUCGAAGGAGAAGAAAAGGAGGACGAGGAGCAAGGGGAGGGAGACGGCGAGGAGGUAGUGCUUGCUGGACCACAACCGGCGGCCGACGCGGGCGGGGAGGUCUCCGGAGAUCUCGAAAGCAGGGUACGACAAUCGGCGGCGGUGAAAGGGUUUUGCCGCGGCGGUGGAGUCGUUCUGGGGGACCAGGGUCCGGCGGUCCUCCUCCUCGUCGUCGGAGGAGGAGGGGGAGGGGGAAGCCGGGGGUGAGUCCCUCCUCGCCAUGGGAAACCGGGGAGGAGGAGGAGGAGGAAUCGGGAAUGCGAGCGGGCGGAGACGAGAAGACGAGGCAGAAUGAAGGAGAUGAUUGCAGAUGUCGGCGGGUGGAGGAAAGUGAUGUCGUAACUCCCACCGACUGAGUAGGCGCUCGAUACCUUUACAGUGAAACCCACGCAAUGAUUUGCUCAUGUAAACGAUAACGGGUCGGAUUUUAUUGAAAUAUCCAUUCCGAUCCGACCCACUUAAAAAAUAAGGACAUAAAUAAGAAAAAUACGUUAGUCGGGUAUAUUUAGACACUCAUCUCAAUCCAACCCAUUUAAAUCAGAUUAAUUAAUAAAAUAGAUAAUGUAAUUAAAUUUGAAUAUUUAAAUAUUAUUUGAGUUUGUAAAUUAGGAUAAAAUUCACGAAUAUUCCACCACAUCAAUUUGUACGUAUAAUUAUAUUUUGAUAAGAUGAUUUUCUACUAUUGAAAUUUUUGUGAGGACUCUUUUAUCAAUGCAUUCCCUCUCUCUCUCUCUCUACUGUAUCAUUCAUUAUUUGCAGCUACUCCAAUGAAUGGGUUGGUGAAGUCAUAAGAAUUAGUGUCACAGUCACAUUUUACUAGAAUUUUCCUGCCCACUCUUGGAUCUAAAUGGCAUGUGAAGGUUCUGCUGCUGAUUGGCCAAGUAUCCUUUGUUAUUCCCAUACGUCAACUGGUCUCAUUCUUCAUAGACUUGCUGUCUUUGUUCCAGUUGAAUCUGUUCAUCUUGUAUCACAUGUAUGUAAUUGUACAGAUCUAUGUUUGUUUACCUUAAAAAAAUACAAAAGUUUAUGUUGACUUGUUUGGGUCUCCAUACUUAUCGGCUUCUAUCAUACUCUUGAACCGGUCAAAGUAACCACGAUUGAACAUCAUCACAAUCUUCAAUCUCUUUGUAAUUUGAGACUGUUCUCUAUCUCAUGUCUUUUGGUAUCUAGAUGCGGACAUGGUGUCAUCUUGUCCUCAAGUUACAAAACCAUUCAAAUGACCCUUGUUAUGGUAAAUAACUUUUUUAGCCGUGACCUCGGGGUCGACGCGGCUGGUUCAGGAGUCCGAAUGGCGGGGAUCUUGCGUGGCGUGCCUCGGGUCCUUCGGGUGGCCGACCGUGGUGAUCUGGAUGUCCCGUCAGGGGGUGAGCUCUGCCGCAGCGUCUGGGAAGAGGCAACCUCGUCUCGCACCUGCACACUGGUCGGGUCGGAGGCUCGACCCGACCCCUCCGACGAUCAAGUUAGCGAAAGACGGAGAGGGGGUUUCCAGAGAAGUAGUACUUUUAGGGUGUGUCCCGCCUCCCCUUUUCCUAAUGAAAGAGAGGGUAUUUGUAGGGAAGCUUAUCGUUUCCUGGUGUGCCCACCUGUGUGAGGCAGGGUCGCACCUCUGAUGGCGUCUGACAUCGUUACUGACGUUGCGUGGAGGACAGGAGCGUUGCAGGGUAUGGGCGAGGGUCGGUAGUCAUCCUACCCUGCCAUGGUCAAUCGUGCGGGGUUGGAAGCCGUUGCCUGAUAGCGGGGGUUGCUAACGCAAGUCGAAUCAGCGUUAUGGCUCUCCUCAUUGGGCAGAGUGGCACCCACGUGGGGCUUUCGACGUGACACGUCACGUCGCCAUUAUUUCCCAUAUCAUAUUCCCCCCCCCCCGGAAGAAGCUAUGCGUCGGGGACGGCAGUCGGGUGAGGGAGCACGAGGCAUGGCUUUAACUCAGAUGACAUACGGUAGAGUUUGUUUUACGCAGGUGGGAUCUUCGGGCAUUCUGCGGGCGAGGAGCUAGACGCCGACGGGCUGACCGCACUAGUGUGCCUCGGGCGUUACGCGGCCGAGGAGCAUGACGCAGGCGGGCUGACCGCGCUGGUGUGCCUCGGGCAGUACGCGGCCGAGGAACAUGACGCAGGCGGGCUGACCGCGCCUGGUGUGCCUCGGGCAUUACGCGACCGAGGANNNNNNNNNNNNNNNNNNNNNNNNNNNNNNNNNNNNNNNNNNNNNNNNNNNNNNNNNNNNNNNNNNNNNNNNNNNNNNNNNNNNNNNNNNNNNNNNNNNNNNNNNNNNNNNNNNNNNNNNNNNNNNNNNNNNNNNNNNNNNNNNNNNNNNNNNNNNNNNNNAUUACGCGACCGAGGAGCAUGGCGCAGGUGGGCUGACCGCGCUGGUGUGCCUCGGGCAUUACGCGACCGAGGAGCAUGACGUAGGCGGGCUGACCGCGCUGGUGUGCCUUGGGCAUUACACGGCCGAGGAACAUGACGCAGGCGGGCUGAUCGCGCUGGUGUGCCUCGGGCAUUACGCGACCGAGGAGCAUGUCGCAGGCGGGCUGUCCGCGCUGGUGUGCCUCGGGCAUUACGCGACCGAGGAGCAUGUCGCAGGUGGGUUGACCGCGCUGGUGUGCCUCAGGCAUUACGCGACCGAGGAACAUGACGCAGGCGGGCUGACCACGCUGGUGUGCCUCGGGCAUUACGCGACCGAGGGACCUUGGGCGAUAUGUAGCCGAGGGAUGGUCUUAAGCGACAAGUGGUCGAGGAGGUACUUGAUUCCGGCCAGCGAUUGAUUGCUCAUGCGCGUGCGGGUGGCCGGGCUCGCUUUUCCCUGGGGGAGGAUCGAGGGGCCGCCCUCUCCGGGGGCUGUCGUGUUUCGAGGCCGGUGUGAUUAGCAUUUUUAAGGCGGACAUGGUUGGCGCUUUUAAGGUUUGAUUAAUGCUUCCGAGGCUGAUAUGAUUAGCACCUCCGUAUCUUGCACCGCGCUGCAAACGGCUGCCACGUCAGGCUGCAUUUAUGGCGAGGUGACGCUCUCGGUCUUCGCAGCGCACUUUGGGAGGGGAAGGGUUGCCGUUUUGGCGGGAUGCGGCCAGUUUAUAAGUAGUGUGAAGCUAGCCAUCGGGGGUCUCUCCAUCUGUCUUCGUCGCGCUGCUUCGUACCUCGUUGUUUUGCUUGUACCCGUUGUUCCUUCUUUUCUUGCUAAAGGUCGGUAAGAAUGGUGUCUUCCCCUUCCCAUUCGUCCUCUUCUUUGUCGAAAGCCGGGGAGACGACGACUUCGUCGAAUCCCCCCUCGUCAUCCGACGGGGAGGCUGCCCCGGCCCUGGAGGCCCUGAUGUGGCCGCACGACCAUGACUCCACCGUGGGCGAGUCGUCGCUGAGCCUCCUCCGGGAUCGCUAUGGCAUCCCGGAGGAGUUUGUCCUUCUUGCUCCGGAGCAUGGUCAACGGGCGUAUGACCCGAUUCUUAGGGGUUUUGCCCUCACCCUUGACGCUUUUGAGGCCGGGCUGCCCUCCCCUUGCACGUCGUCAGUCUCCUGUCUUUCCUGGUGGCGCAUCUCCCCGUCCCAGAUGGCGCCGAACUCAUGGCGAUAUCUGGUGGCGUUUCUAGGGGAGUGUCAUUAUGCCAAUAUAACCCCGACCUGUGCCCUCUUCCUCUCCUACUUCCGUCUUUGUAAGGGGUCGGGGGGUUACCAUUUGUCCGCCCGAGCGGGCUUCCGAGUGGGUGGAGCCCAUUCCAGUAAUAAGGGGUGGAAGGAGCGCUUCUUUUUUGUCUGCCGCUCGGGGGAUUGGGGAUUUGGGGUCCGCUGGGGGGCGCGUACGAUAGACAACUCCGCCCCGGUUUUGGACGAGGAGGGGCGCCGAGAGCUCCAGAGGCUUAGAGAUAUCCUCCCGGCUUCCAGCGCCAUCCGGAAUAUGUCCGAGCGGUUGUUGGUGGAGGUGGGCCUUAGCCCGGUGCCUCUAGGUACGCUCCAAGGGGCGGUUUCUUUAGGGGUUUUUCUUUUUUCUCUUUUCCUUCGUGGACUAUCCACUUAGCUGACCGUCGAUUUCUUCGUAGAGAUGGUGCUUCUUGAAGCCUUGCGUGGAAGAAGAACUUUUUCGGCCGCGUCGGGUCGUUCGCCUUCCGUCGCCAGGGUAGGUACGAGGGAGGCCCCCAUGGAUGUCGAGGCUGGUCGGCCUCGGAAGAGGGCGCGGGUGCCUCCCGGUGAUGGUUCUGAGGCGGUCGUAACUCCGACGACGGAAGGCGCCAUUGCAUCGACAGUGGAAGCCGCCGUAGCCCCUGCGUUAGCAUCACGGGGAGCCCCGGGGAGGGAGAGACCGGUACGAGCGGGAACGUGGUGGUGGAGGCGCCUCGUCAACAUUCGAUUCGCAAGCUCCUUCGCCUUCCGCUCGGGAGGGAGGACGAGCCCUACUUGGCACGGGAGGUGGGCGCUCUCCCGCGCGGCGCGGCCACUGAUCUGCUAACGGGCCGGUGUGACGGUCUUACCCGGGGCAGCCGGGUGUGGGCCGACGGGGAUUGUGCGGCGAGGUUUGUACGAGGAGGACUUCACCCCGACAUAGCUCGGGAUCUGUAUACCUUGUCCUCUGAGGUCUUGCUUAGCAAAUCAGCUAAGUCACUGUUGUGGGUAAGUUUUGUUCCGCCCUCCAGUCUGCAUACUUUUGGACAGGCUUUAUUCUGACUUUACCCUUUCACCAGGGCAACCACUACGCUGCCGCUCUGAUGGACCGCGUUCGCGAUGCGGGACGAGUCAUCUCCGCUCUGAGUAGCCGUAAUGCCGAACUCCGGAGGCAGGCGGACGAGGCUCGAGCUGGAGCGGGUCCCGAGGCAGUUGCGGUGGUCGAGCAGCGCGCCUCGGAUUUGGAGGCGGAGGUGACGCGUCUUCGAUCCGAGCUUCAGUCGUCCGUGGAGCGGCUCGCGGAGUUUCAGGCGCGUCUCGAAACGUCCGAGGAGCGUAAUACGGAGCUCCAGACUCUGUUGAGGGCGUCGGUGUCCGAGGCUCGCUCGGUGAGGAAGGACUCUGUUGAGCUGAUCCGACGCCUUGAAGAGUCGCGGGCCGAGGCACAAAGGGCCUCCGAGUCCCUGGAUGCCGAGAUCCGCCAAUGGCCGGGGAAGGAGAAGAAGCUGAUCGAGGACUACAAGGGUUCCUCGGGCUUCCAGCUCGGCCUUGUUCGGACCGGGCGAGUUUCGUACGAGUAUGGGUAUUGGGUUGCCCUUGCUCGUUUCAAGGCGCGCCAUCCUGACUCGGAGGUCGUAGAGGAUCCCUUCGGUUCGUUCCCCGAGGAUCUGGGCGUCGACAUGCCAGCCGAGGUUCCUUUUGACGAUAACCCAGAUGCCCCCGAGGAAUGAAGAUCUCUGUUCCUUUUGCUUUGUCUUGUAAUGCGCCUUUUUGAAUAAAACAUGGUCCCGCUCUUCUUCUCAAUCGUAUGUCUGUGUUUUGGUACGCCUCUUUCUUUGGCCAAGUCUCUUGCUUAUGGAAAGAACCUUUUGAGGUUAUGGGUGUUCCAAGUCCUUGGCAGCGAUUGACCCAUCAUCGUGGCGAGUCGGAAUGUCCCGGUUCCGAUAACUUCGGUCACCCGAUAAGGUCCUUCCCAGUUGGGAGCCAACUUGCCUCGUGCCCGGGUCGGAUCGCUGACCUCGGUCCUUCGCAGGACCAGGUCGCCCAAUUUGACGGGUCGGGGUCGUACCUUUCGGUUGUAAACCCUUGCGACCGCCCUUUUGUAAGAAAGGGCUCUUACGUGUGCGUCGGCACGCCGCUCCUCCAGCAGAUCGAGGGCGGCUCGAAGUCCUUCUUCUGAGGCUUCCUCGUCAUAGCUUUGUGUUUGAAGGGUGGCGAUGGCUACCUCGGGGGGGAGGACCACUUCAAUUCCGAACGUGAGGCUGUAAGGGGACUCUCCAGUCGCGGUUUUGGGAGUGGUGCGUAGCGCCCAUAGUACGCUAGGGAGCUCGUCUGUCUAAGUUGAUCGAGUUGCGGACACUCUUCUUUUGAGCCCGUCUAGGAUGGACCGGUUGGUUACCUCCACCAGGCCGUUUGUCUGAGGAUGGGCCACCGAGCUGAACCUUAGCUGGAUUCCGUGGUACGCGCAGAACUCCCGAAACUUCCGACCGGCGAACUGUGGCCCAUUGUCUGUGAUGAUGGUGUUCGGUAGGCCAAACCGGGUCACCAAGUUCUUCCACACAAACUUUUCUAUCUGUUGUUCCGUGAUAGUCGCCAACGGCUCGGCCUCUACCCAUUUUGUGAAAUAAUCUACGCCUACGACGAUGUAUCUCCGCUGUCCCGAUGCUGGGGGGAAGGGACCGAGGAGGUCCAAACCCCAUUGCGUGAAUGGCCAAGCGCAGUCGAUAGGGGUUAACGGGACUGCGGGCAGCCGAGGUGUGCGGGCGUGUUCUUGGCAUGAGCUACAUCGUUGUACGUGGGCCUUCGCGUCCUGACACAUGGUUGGCCAGAAGUAGCCUUGGCGGAGUAUCUUGUGCGCCAGGGUUCGCCCGCCGAUUUGUUCCCCGCAGACCCCUUCAUGGACCUCAGCCAGGACGGUCCGGGCUUCGUCGGGCUCUAAGCACCGCAGGAGGGGGUACGAGAAGGACCGCUUGUAGAGGCGUCCACCCACCUCGGUGUACCAUGCGUGUGAGCGACGUAGGCGUCGAGCCGUGGCCUUAUCGGGCGGGAGAGUCCCGUCCCGUUUGAAGUGGAGCAUUUCUUGUACCUAGGUGAUGGGCGCGCCACCAGUAGCUGCGGCCGCGACUUCGAUGGCACGGGCGAGUAGCUCCUCAACCUCGAGCCCGACUUCGGGGACAGGUUUCGAUGCCAGCCUAGCUAGCGUGUCGGCGCGCCCGUUCUACCCUCUCGGGACGUUAGAUAAUGUAAAGUGAGGGAACUUGGCGGUCAGGUUCUUUACCUAUGCCAGGUAUCUUGCCAUGGUCGGGUCGCGGGCCUCGUAUCCUCCGCUGAGCUGUUCGGCCACCAGCUGGGAGUCAGUGAGGACGUGGACGGCAACCACCUGCAUCUCGAGGGCCAAUCUAAGUCCUGCUAGGAGCGCCUCGUAUUCCGCCUCGUUGUUAGUGGCCCGGAACCCGAAGCAGAGGGAUUAUUCGAACGACCGCCCGUCGGGAGCCUGCAGCACCAGCCCCGCGCCAGCGCCUUUUGAGUUGGUCGAACUGUCGACGUGCAGGACCCAGGCCUCGGGAGGCUGCCUGAGGUUCUCGUCCCCGAUCUGGGUCAACUCUGCGAUGAAGUCAGCCACGGACUGGGCUUUAAUAGCUGUCCUGGGCACGUAUUGAAUGUCAUGUUCGCCGAGCUCCACCGCCCAUUUGAGGAGCCGUCCUGCGACAUCAAACUUGGACAAGACCUGACGAAGUGGCUGGUCCGUAAUUACCUCCACCGGGUGGGCCUGGAAAUAAGGGCGUAGCUUCCGAGCGGAUAAUAUGAGCGUGAGCGCUAGCUUCUCGAUCGGCGGGUAUCGUUCCUCUGGACCAUUGAGAACGUGGCUGACAUAGUAAAUCGGGAGCUGAUCGCCGGAGUUUUCUUUAACUAGGACGGAACUUACCGCGUGCGGGGAGGCAGCCAGGUAAAUGCUCAGCUUCUCACCGGGGGAGACUGAGGCGAGUCGAGGAAGGUUGGCCAGGUGUUGUUUCACUUGCUUGAGGGCUUCUUCGCAUUCCGCCGUCCACUGAAAACCCUUUGGGUUCUUAAGUGCCCUGAAGAAAGGAAGGCAGCGAUCACCCGAUCGGGCGAGGAAGCAUGACAUGGCGACGAGCUUCCCGUUGAGGCGCUGCAGAUCUUUGAUCGUGCGAGGUGGUUGCAUGUUGAUGAUCGCCUGGACCUUUUCUAGGUUGGCGUCGAUCCCUCUUUCGUGUAUAAUGAACCCGAGGAACUUCCCUGACGUGAUGCCGAAGGCGCACUUAGCGGGGUUGAGCCGCAUGUCGUACUUGCGCAACAUGGCGAACGCCUCGGACAGGUCGGCUAGGUGGGCUCCGGCCUCUUGGCUCUUUACGAUCAUGUCGUCGACGGACACUUCCAUGUUCCGUCCGAUCUGGUGGGCAAACAUUUUGUUCACCGUCCUCUAGUAUGUAGCCCCGGCGUUCUUUAAUCCGAAAGGCAUAACUUUGUAAAAGUAAACGCCUUGGUCGGUGAGAAAGGCCGUAUGUUCUUGAUCUUCGGGUGCCAUCCUGAUCUGGUUAUAUCCAGAGAAGGCGUCCAUAAAUGAGAGGCGGGCGUGACCUGCCGUGGCAUCGACCAGCUGGUCGACCUUCGGAAGGGGAUAACAGUCCUUCGGGCAUGCAUUGUUGAGACUGGUGUAAUCAACGCACAUCCUCCAGCUUCCAUUAGCUUUUUUGACGAGGACUACAUUCGAAAGCCAUUGGGGGUAACUGGCUUCUUUUAUGAAGCCUGCCUCCAGGAGCCGAGCCACUUCUUCUCGCACGACUAUCUGCCGCUCUGGGGCCUGCCGUCUCAGCUUUUGUUUUACUGGGCGGGCUUCAGGUGAGAUACUGAGGUGAUGCAGGGCAACUUCCGGGUCGACGCCUGUCAUGUCAGAGGGUGACCAGGCGAAGACAUCAGCGUUCUUCUAUAGAAGGCCGACGAGCUGUCCUCGUUCUUGCUCGGGUAGCUCCGACCCGAUCCUAACCGUUUGCACCGACCGAUCCUUUAGCAGCGGCACAGCGAUGGUGGACUCGCUCGGCUGAAGGUGGGGGGACGUCUUCUACGUUUCUCGGGGGUCUGCCAACGGCGACUCAGUCCUGGCCUUCUUGUGUAACGAGACGGCGGUCAGGUAGCAGCGCCGGGAUUCCCGAGGACUUCCUGAGAUCUCUCCGGUCCCGGCGUCGGUCGGAAACUUCACAGUUUGGUAGUAGGUCGAGAUGACGACUCUGAUCUUGUUGAGGGUCGACCGACCGAGAAUGGCAUUGUACGCGGCGGGGAGGUCGAUUACCAAGAAGGAGGUCAUUAUUGUCUUCGACCUUGGCGGGUUUCCCAGGGUUAAGGGCAAAGUGACCGCCCCUAGUGGUGAGAUUGAAUCACCGGUGAAUCCAGUGAGCGCCGAGGAUAUCGGCUUCAUAUUGUCUCUGGAUAGACCGAGCUUCUGAAAGGCGUCGUAGUAGAGUAUGUCGGCCGAGCUCCCGGUAUCGACCAUGAUUCUCCUCACCUGAGCGUUGGCGAUCCUGGCUGAUACCACGAGCGCAUCGUCGUGCUCGGCUUGUUCGGGCGUUCUAGCCGGGAAGGUGACGUUAGGCCCGGGCGCGUGUCCAGGGGUUUCGGCCGAGGCGGCUCUAGCGUACGCCUUCCUUCCGGUCAUGGAAUCCCCACCAGACGCGAGGCCUCCUGUUAUUACGUCGAUGUGUCGCUCGACGGGGCACUCUGGGCAUGGCGAAGGUUCCUUAUCUGGGCGGAGGUACUGGCCGAGGUGUCCCCUGCGAAUGAGCUCCUCGAUCUGUCUCUUUAGCUCCCGACACUGUUCAGUGUCGUGCCCAUGUUGCCGAUGGAAGCGGCAGUACUUCGACUGGUCUGCCAGAGCCCGUGGACUUCUCAUUUGGUAUGGCUCUUUGAGCAGCCCCUUUUCCCUUAUGUGAAGGAAUAUUUUUGUUUGGGACGAGUUCAAGGCUGGGAGAGGGGGCCUCGGAGUAGGCGGGUCGGAUCGGUCCAAUCUACGCAGAGAUGCCGCGGGUUGCUGCUGCCGAGGCGGCUCUGGCUUGGUCCCCUUGUGUCCCCCGGGCCUCCCGGCCAUCCAUGCUUCCGCGGCGACGAACUGACUCGCACGCUGGAGCAUCUCGGGCACAAUCGUAGGAGGUCGUUCUACUAGGGACCAGAAGAACCUUGAGGGCCGCAAGCCAAUCAUGAACGCCUGCAUCAGUAGAGAGGGGUGAGCAUCCGAGAGUCCUCGGAUCUGUGUCGUAAAGCGGUUCAAGAAGUGAGAGAGGGACUCAUCCUCCCUUUGGUUGAGCUCGAGGAGCAGCGCCACGGAUGGCUUCGGGGGGCAUAGGCGAGGAAGUUGAGCUCGAAGUCCCGGGCGAGCUGGUCGAAGGAAGUGAUGGACCCGGACUUGAGACCGUCGUACCAUGCGCGGGCCGAUCCCCUCAAAGUUGUCGGGAACACCCUGCACAUUAAGGCGUCGGAAGUCCCGUAUAGCGCCAUUUGGGCGCAGAACGCGGCUACGUGAUCCGCGGGGUCAGUGGCGCCGUCAUAGGCGUCCAGGGAUGGGAGCCGAAAGUGUGACGGGAUGGCCUGAUCUUGUAUUUCGGGUGCGAACGGGGACCCUUGGUAUCCGUCCGCCCCGGGCUCCCCAUUUGUCCUGCGAAUCUCUUAUUGCACUUCGUUGAGACGUUGAUUGAAGAGACGCACCUGGGCCCGCAGGGUGUUCGUCGGGUCUAUGGACGGUCGUUCGGGCUCCGGGCGGCUCGACGUGCCUUCCGCCUCCCGGUCCCCGAGCAGGGCCGUUAGGUUUCGAGGCGACAGAAGGGGCUCGGGGAGCGACACGUGCAUCCGGGGGUCGGGCUCCCGCUGUUGCAAAGGCCGGGUUGCAUGUGGGGGCGUUGGCUGGGAGACGAGCGGGAUGAUAGUUUGUACCACGCCCGCCAGUGUUCGCACUUGGUGGGCGAGAUCGUGGAAGGCUUCGGGCGAAACGGGUGGUGGGCCGACGGGGGCAUCGGGUGGCGACAAGCCCGGGUCGUUGAACAGCCGCCAGUAUCGCUCCGAAGUCGUGGCGGGGCGUUCGUCUCGAAGCCCCUCCCGGGAGGGAUGAUCUUCCGGGGUUCUAGCCGGGCGCGACCCCGUAGUUGCGGGUUUGCCCAAGUGGGUCUGCUGAUCGAUCGACAUUCGGAGGCCCUCCUUCUAGCGCCAAUCUGUUAUGGUAAAUAACUUUUUUAGCCGUGACCUCAGGGUCGACGCGGCUGGUUCAGGGGUCCGAAUAGCGGGGAUCUUGCGUGGCGUGCCUCGGGUCCUUCGGGUGGCCGACCGCGGUGAUCUGGAUGUCCCGUCAGGGGGUGAGCUCUGCCACAGCGUCUGGGAAGAGGCAACCUCGUCUCGCACCUGCACACUGGUCGGGUCGGAGGCUCGACCCGACCCCUCCGACGAUCAAGUUAGCGAAAGACGUAGAGGGGGUUUCCAGAGAAGUAGUACUUUUGGGGUGUGUCCCGCCUCCCCUUUUCCUAAUGAAAGAGAGGGUAUUUGUAGGGAAGCUUACCGUUUCCUGGCGUGCCCACCUGUGUUAGGCAGGGUCGCACCUCUGAUGGCGUCUGACACCGUUACUGACGUUGCGUGGAGGACGGGAGCGUUGCAGGGUAUGGGCGAGGGUCGGUAGUCAUCCUGCCCUGCCAUGGUCAAUCGUGCGGGGUUGGAAGCCGUUGCCUGAUAGCGGGGGUUGCUAACGCGAGUCGAAUCAGCGUUAUGGCUCUCCUCAUUGGGCAGAGUGGCACCCACGUGGGGCUUUCGACGUGACACGUCACGUCGCCAUUAUUUCCCAUAUCAACCCUCAUGGUGGUCGAGCCAGGGAGGUUGAGCUAGAUCGCGGGUGAGACAUCUUGAGUCGAUUGUGGCUUUUUUACGGUGAACCUGAGAUAGGUGGUCGAGACGAUUCUUGGCAUGACCUCAUGUGGGACUCCUCAUAUUGGCCCAAGAUCAUUGCUUCCGCAACUAUAUAUUAGUUAGCUUGUUGGAGCAUCUCAGGAAUAAUUGUAAGUGACCUCUUCAUCAAUGAUUAAAAGAACCACAAGUGUCUGAGGUCCAUCAGAUACCACCAACGAGGGAUAAGCAUCUUAAACCCAUCGGAUUUUAUCCUCCUUCUACCUUAUUCUAAGCAGUAUUGCCGUGAAAGGCUUUGGGUGCAUGUUCAUGAGGAAAUGGAGUUUAAAUUCCUUCACUGGGUGAAGGAUGACAUCGAGAGCGCCUUCAAAUGACUAUACCAUUCUCGGGUCGAGCCCCUUAGUUUUGUCAGAAAUGCUUGACACAUCAGAGUGUUUGACAUUCCACAUUUAGACCUAGAAGGCUGCGAUAUGUUCUCUUGGGUUGGAGCUAUCAUUAAAGGUCUCUAACAUCGAGAGGUGGAAGUUGGUCGGGAGGAGCUUCUCCUAGAUGCCUUAAAUAAAUGGAGAGCUACCCGAGAUAGGGUCGUUGGCGUCCCCUUUUGAGUGCUGAAACUCUCCUUGCACCUCGUUUAGAUGCUGAUUCAUUAGCUAUAAUUGGGCCCUAAGUGAGUCGUCCAUCGAGUCUGUUGAUUAGGUUUUUGACUCGGGCAAGAUUGGCCUAUGGUGCGGGAGUGAGCAAAAAUUCACUAUUAGGGAGUGUGGCACUCUGACCGACAUUUCUAUUGGCCCGAGACAAUCCAAGGGUGCUGAUAGUAGAUCAAUUUAGAGAGCCCUUAGGAGUGCUGGAGCGGAGAAGGGCUAGAUUGUUAGUCAUAGUUGUGGAGGGGGCAAUGGUUUACAUUAUCCCAACUAGCGUCUACACUUGGUGUGUGAGGCUUAUGAUGGUCUCGACAAGGAUAACUAGGUGCCCCAUACUCAUCCCCAGAGGUGAGAGCCCAGGGUCAUUAAAUAAGCAUUAAUAGCACCCCAAGGUCUAGGCCGAGGUGGACGUGUCCACUUAUGGGAAGAAGGGUAAUUACCCUUCUUGCUUGAAGGUAUUAUGUAUGGAUGGCAACACCUCCACACUAGAGCACUCAUUGAGGGGGUUUGUAGGUAAACAGUCUUAUGACAUUUGAGCCCUCCUUCUAGCAUCAAAAUAUUGACACUUUGAUGCUGUCAACCAGUGGCCAACAUGGCCUCAUCUUAUCCCGAAGGUGCAAACCCAUCUAGAUGGCCCUCCCGGUGGUCGGGCAAAAGGGUCUCUGUUGGGAAUGCAUUGGCUGAAGUGGUUCUAAAGUUGUUCCACGAUUAGGUUGGGGUAGGUUUCAAACUCCUCGACGGUUUUGCACAAAAGGUUGAUGUCACAAGGGUGGAGGGGGGAGGGGGAGGCGGAGGCGGAUGUGAUUUUUUGAUUUGACCCCUUCGACGAUCAAGUUAGCUAUGUGGAGUAAUGAAGACAUGAGGUUUUAGGGUAUAGAGGUCCGAUCUUUGUUCAGGCAUCGAGGACCGAUUUUUAUACCUAAGAAGUUUGGGAGGGCCACGGUUGAUAAACGGUUGAUCUAUACGUCCUCCUUCUAUAGCUUGACUAAUCUAUAUGGCUUGCUGCGAUGCAUCAUUAGCAAGGGAUAACAAAAAGGGGCACCUCCUGUCAACUCUGACGGUUGACAAGGUCGAGUUGAAUAGCUCCUUAUGAGCUAUCUGCAGGAGCCGACGAAAGGGGGGCACAGGUCAGCUCAAUCGUUCGAGGAUUAUUGCUCCCAACGAUCAACUCGUACCAUUUCCCGCGGGUUGCGAUCCACGAUGGUCGAUAAGUUGCUGCACCAUCGCCAAUCUAGGGGGAUGACAUGGGCCUUUUAUCUUCUAUAUCAGCUUUUUGGUGGCGAUCAGCUGGUGGACUGUCAUCGAAAUGUUUCCUAUCAAUCUGUCUCUGCAUUUGCUUCAAUUCUUAGGCUUUCUCACUUGACCUUUUAACCGUAACCAUGCAACUUGAGUUGCAGAUGCUGUUGUGGGGAGAAGAGAUUGGUCUGCAGACAAAAAGAACACAGUCCCUUUCACUUCAGCUGCAGUGACCCAUCACAACUUGCACUGUCCACAUCACUUCCUCUUAUUUUAGAGUUCAUGCAGGAAAAUUUCCCCAUACAUCUCACAUCUUGGAUAUAAGAAGUUCGUAUGAUGCAAAGAAAUAUAUCACCUCAUGCAGUGUCAGAAACACGGUGACAAUGAAAUCUCUGCUACCCUACAGCUAACCACAGUGGACAUCCAUCAGAUUUGAAGGAAAAGAAAACAAGCCUUCUACCAAACCCUGUCAUGUUUUCUUUUGUGUAUUACACAGAAUACAUCAGAUAUUACUACUGCAAACAAGGAUUUGAGGCACGGGAGGAGCUCAUCACCCUCACUCAUGACCUGUGCAUUUAUCUUUGUAUUUAGUAUGUAUAUACAAUCACACACAUCAGAAACCUCGUCGUCUUCUCCGGUGUUCUUCCAUGGAUUCAUGAGCAGGGGCUCACUGCUUCAGUCGCAAUGGCGACGGCUGCGAUUCGACGAGGAUCGACCAUAAGAUAUGCACGUCUUCGCAUUGGCAUGACUUCACAUCCUCGUAGAGGAUGUAUAUCCCUCUAUCUGUCAGUGCAAGAGAAGUCCAAUUGUAACUUCUAAUGAGGCAAAGAAUUGCUCCAAGAAUACCAAGUAGUCCUUACUGUUGAGCAACUAUUAAGAAUGAUUUAUCUACACAAACAGAAGCAUGAAGUAGAAGAACAUUGACAUACUCUUUUUGCGAGCAGAAUGCAAGCGAAACCAGAGCUUCUUCAGAGGAGAGAAGAGGGACUGAAGCCACCCCAUGGGAAGGAGAUGAGAGGUGCACUAUUUCUUCAUUGGUGAUAGGGGGAAUGGAGAGGGAGAGUGAGGAUGAGGGGAAGGGAAGUUGGAGGGUUAAGUAAUAGGCUUGCUUGAGACAGAGGUGAAGCCUAUGACACAGUUUCUGCUGCCACAAGAAUUCCAUGCUCUUACAGGACAAUCAUGGAUUACAUAUUGUCUUGGUACCGUGUCACUUUCCACCUCCCACUCUUCUCUCUCAAGCUCUCUCUGUCUCACUUCAUCAGGAAAGCUAUUUCCUGCUUUCUACACCGUAAAUCAAUGGAGAACUUUUACAUGCUGUGCUGUGUUAAUUUCUUUCGGAUCAGAACAGAGGAGCAGCCUAUUUUCCAAUGAUAAGAAAUGAGAUCAGCUAAUUAGGCCCUUUUUUGGCUUCAUAUCGUUUUCUUUCUGAGGGUUGCUCUGCUUCUAGAACUGGUCCACGAUGCAAGCAGAAGCACUGUCAACCUAAACUGGUAGUGACUCAUCAUCGCGAUACGAAUAAUGCAUCAAUGGCAUGAUUCCUCAUGUUGUCAGUAGGAUCCAUAAUGAACAGAGAUCACAGGAGCAUCUCAAAUUGUCGAGAGAGAGUUGGUCUUUGCAUUUAUCACAUGCCCAUCUUUAGAGAACUUGGAGUCGCUUUUCUUUGAGAAGUACAAAUGAAGGUUGAAUGAAAUGGCGUUUUCAGGAUCUUCCAAAUCCACACAUGAUUUGAAUGCAGGACCAACCAAGACAAGAACACAAAUCUUUUCUUAUAACCAUUUGCACCUAUGCUUUCUUUGAUGCUGUAUUACUCAUGGUUGCUGGAAUUCGAAGAGAGGGUAUUCUGGAGAGAUUACACAGAUCAUAUGGACCAGUGAUUUCUGUUCGUAGCACUUUGUUUGAAGAUGCAUGACCUCAACCUGCAACAAAACAAUGGAACCUGUAACAAAAUGAUCUAGAUUAAUGUUGAGCAUGGUUUUCAAUCAUUAUAAAUGUAUCAAGGGGCUCUUAUUUUAAUUGUUGCAACUUGAUCUUUGUUAUAGUGAUUGUUGUGAUACAAGGAUAAUUAUGUAGAAACAGGGUAAGUUUAUUUAGAAUGGAAAUUUUAUGCAGCUAAAAUAUGAGUCUCAAUAUUUGGUCUCUCUGAAAUAUAUCAGAUCAUCAUAAUUUGGAAAAGUGCAGAAGGCCCAAACUAGAGGUGUUGAAACACAAUUAACAUUCACUGCAAUGGGGUGUGUUCUUCUCCGACUGGAUGCUCGGAUGUAAUGCAGCUUGAGUUCAUCUCCAUCACAUGAAAGCAUAUGGACUCUGCCUUCAUACCUUGAUAGAUCUUUCACUCCCUGUCAUUUAAAGGUCAUUAAUGAAGAUUUUAGCAUCCCUAGGAGACUACAGCUGGGAAUUGAUCCAUCAUCCGAUAUGACCCUCCCCAUGCUCGUCCAAAAGAGUAGUCUUCUAAAGAAUUUUCUACAUCUGAACAAGUUCAAGAUAAUAAUGCUGUGGUAGCCGAUCGAUCCCACUGUCCUGUUUUCUUUCUUGUGAUGGUAGCUCAAAUGAAUAGAACUAACAGGAUAAGUAUAUUUAUUGUCUCAUUUAUAUGGAAGAUUUCAUCAUUUGUUAGUUUAUUAGCAAUUAUUUACGACUAUGCAGGAAGUCAGAGGACGUGCACUAAUAUACUUCCAAGCACACCAUAUACGACAUUUCUAACAGCUUGGCUCAGACGUUUGCAUCUUGUUGACGUCCUGCUUGCAGUCAAGCUCUCAAGUCAACAGUCCAGCUUCAUUUAAGUCCCCAUUAAUUCUAUUGCGAUUGCACCAUCACUGCCUUGAAUCACCCACAUGAAUCCACAGCUGAGUUCCUCCUCCUUCCUCGUCUUCGUCUUCGUCUUCGUCUUCCUCCACUCUCUUAAGCCGGCUUCCAUUUACUGCCAUCCCCUCGAUCCUCUCACCCCUUCCGAGAUCUCGGCCGUCAGCAACAUAAUCAAGUCCUCCCACCUUGGCUCAUCCAAAUCUCUCUCCUUCCACUAUGUCGGCUUGGACGAGCUCGACAAGCCGGACGUGCUCGCAUGGGCGUCGACCCACCGCUGGAACAAGGCAGCGCCGCCACGGCGAGCGUUCGUGAUAGUCCGGUCCGAGAAGAAGACCCACGAGAUAUACGUGGACAUCACCAACCACUCCAUCGUCUCCGACAAGGUGUACGAGGGAUUCGGCUACCCCAUGCUGAACUUCGAGGAGCAAGAGGCGGCUUCCGCCCUGCCCUUCGACUACGCGCCGUUCGUGGAGUCGGUGAAGAAGCGGGGACUGGAGCCGGAGGACGUGCUGUGCACGACCUUCUCGGUGGGGUGGUUCGGGGAGAGGAAGCAAGGGAGGCGGCUGCUGAAGAUCCAGUGCUUCCUCACGGGAGACACGGUGAACUUCUACGCGAGGCCAUUGGAGGGGGUGACGGUGGUGGUGGACUUGGACGCCAUGGAGAUCGUGGAGUACGAGGACCGGAUGGUUGUGCCGGUGCCGGGGUCAACGGGGACGGACUACCGAGCCGCGAAGCAGAAGCCGCCGCUAGGGCCGCGGACGAAGCCCGGCAUCAUCGUGCAGCCCGAAGGGAAGGGUUUCGAAGUUGAUGGCCACAUGAUCAGGUAUCUGUUCAACACUGUUUACGUAUGACAGCAAUAUAUCGUGAGCCAAUAGUUGAUAGGUUUCCUGCAUGAACAUUUUCCUAUCACAUAAUAUAAGUGAACCGAUAGAAAUAUAUUAUCUAUGCAUGUAAUUGUUGGAAUUUUCUUGCAUUGACUUGGUCAACAAUUUUAUCGGAAUACAAUAAAUAGCAAGAACAUGUCACAUUGUGUUGGAAAAUGCUUCAUCGAUGGAUUUUUGUCCACACGUUUGCAGGUGGGCCAACUGGGAAUUCCACUUGGGCUACGACGUCCGAGCCGGCACAGUCAUCUCCUUAGCAUCAGUGAAGGACUCCGAGAAGGGAAUCUUCCGGCGAGUCCUGCACAGGGGCUACGUAUCGGAGAUAUUCGUACCGUACAUGGACCCAUCGGAGGAAUGGUACUACAAAACCUUCUUCGACGUCGGCGAGUUCGGCUUCGGGCUCUUGGCGGCACCGCUGGAGCCCAUGACCGACUGCCCGGCCAAUGCCGCAUUCAUGGACGCGUACAUCACCGACCGAGACGGGUUGCCGAUCAAGCAAUCGAAUGCUUUCUGUGUGUUCGAGCGUUACUCCGGCGACGCCUCGUGGCGGCACACCGAGUUCGGGAUUCCUGGGCAAGUGGUGAGUCGACAUAGCUUCGUCGUGAUCGAAACCAUUUCUCCAUCUUGUGGACACAGGUAAAGGUCUCAGGAUUCACUCGAUUCUUCUGAUGGAUAUACUCUACUGUAGAUCACGGAGGUGAGGCCGGAGGUGAGCCUGGUCGUACGAAUGGUGUCAGCAAUUGGCAACUACGACUACGUGAUAGAUUGGGAAUUCAAAACCAGCGGCUCCAUUAAGUUAGGGGUAUGACAAAGUUGACUUCAAUAACAGUAGAUAUAUACAUCAAGAUGAGAAUAUAUAUAUAUAUAUAUAUAUAUAUAUAUAUAUAUAUAUAUAUAUAUAUAUAUAUAUAUAUAUAUAUAUAUAUAUAUAUAUAUANNNNNNNNNNNNNNNNNNNNAUGAUCUAUUUAAAUAGAUAAGAUAUAUUAUAGAUCUAAUUAAAUUUUGAUUUUGGUUAUAUGAUAGUAUUCGUAAGGAGAUGAUAUUGAUAAAAGGGACUCUCAUACUUAUUUAUUUUAAAUCAUUUAUUUUUACAUAUAAAUAGACGUAACCUUUUUAGGAUUAUAUACGAUUGGAGUUAUAUUCUUAAUCUAGUCCCUAUUCUAUUGUUUAGUGGUCCAAUGAAUGAGUCUAGUUGUCGAAUCAGUAUUGUAACAACUUUUGGAUUGGGUGAUAAUAUACUUAUAGAUCAAAUAAUUUUUUUUUGAAUGAUAUCGAAAGAUAUACGUAACUAAACUAUAAUCUAUGGUUAUCUUAUUUCAGUUCUUAGUAUUAAAGUUUUUCUAUAUAACAAAAAUAUGGUCAUAGUUUUAUGCUUAUAAUUGGUAUCAGAGUCUUAGUUUUAAAAUCAAAUAUCUUAGAUAAUAAAAAUAUAUUAGAUCUAUUUUAUAUUUAGAUCUAUUUAUUAGCAUCAUUUACUUAGGAAAAUAUGUUAUUCAAUUUUGAUUAUAUGAUGUUUGAACAAUAUGUCUAUGUUGUCGAUUUACUUUCGUAUCUCUUCUGUCUUGUUUGAUAUCUGAAUCUAUUCAUCUGUGUUCCUUACCGGCUUAUGGGCAAUGUAAUACGAGUGAAACCAUGAUGGUAGUAUGUUACUUAUAUUUGGUCAACAAUAACAUUAUUGAGGGCGAUGACCUUCGUUGGUCAUUAUCUCAGUCAUUGGCGAUGACUAAGCCAAAUAGUAGUGUUGUUGCAUGUAGCGAUGUCUGCCUAUGUGAAUUAGCCAAGGCAUUGCUGUGGCUGCACACGCAAUGGUGUCGUUGUGUGCGAUAGCACAACGAUUCUAUCGCCUUUGACUGAUGAUUGCAACGAUGCUGCUACGUUGGUGUUUGCUAGCAACAAUUGAUGUCAACGAGAAGCUGGAGGUUGGGGUCGACUAGUGGUUGCACGAUGGUUGUAGGGGUCAUCGGUUAAUCACAAACACAUGCACAAUCGAAGAUGACUUGUACGACAAUGAUAGCCACAUGCAUGAGAAUGGUCGUGCGCGAGUACAGUGGAAUACCGUUGCUACCGUAGGGGGUCAUUGAUCAACCACAAAGAGAGUUCGGAUUGGCGAUGUGCAAGCAACAUAUGACCUUGCAGUAAAGGCCUUGUGUAGGCUUAGAUAGCUAAGGAAACAAAAUGGGAUUAGAGUUUUUCACCCAUUAAAAUACUAUUAUACCCUUUUGAAUUAUUUCAAUUUCAAUUGAUGUCCCUUUAAUAGUUCUACCCUAGAAAUCAGAUAAAAUUAUGAAAUAAUAUUUAUUUUUUCACUUAAAGAUUUGAUCUAUGUUUUACCAUGAUUACAGUUAACAAAUAUUUUUUGUAUUGAUAAUAUUUAAUAUUUAUUAUUUUAUUAUUAUUAAAUUAUUUAUGCAUAAAUUAGAUAAAUAAAUAUAUGAUAAAUAUUAUUUAUAACUUACAUUCCUAAGUUUUAUUUGACCUUAAUCAAUAUUAUAUUCUAUAUUAUUAUAUUGAUCUUAUAGCUAUCAAAGUGAUAUUAAUCAAUAACUUAUAAAAUUAGAUUAAAAAUUAACUCUAAAUGAUAUUAAAAAAUAAUAUUCAUAGUGACACACAUAAUUCAAAGAUAUAGAUAAUCUAAGAAAAGAAUUUACUUUCAAGAAUUAUAUGAUUGAGUAUGAUGAUAUUAUUUUGGAUAUUCUUAUAGCUUAGGAUUAUAUAGUUAAAGAUAACAAUAAUAUUCCAUAAGAAAUAUAUGAGUCUUUCACAAAUAAUUUUAUUUGAACACUAAAUAUAUUAAUAUUUUACUAAAAAGUAAAAUAUAAAUAAUAUUAAUAGUUCAGCAUAUCUUAGAAAAUCAAAACAUUAAUAUAUUUUUAUAUUUUAUAGUAGUACUUCAUUCCUUAUAUUUUUAUAUUUCUAGUGUCCCUAUAUUAUCUGGUUCAAAUAUUUAGAAUGAUUAGAGCAUGUAUAAUUUACAUUGAGUUAUCUGGUUCAAAUAUUCAAAAUGAUUAUAGCAUGUAUACUUCACACUAUUAGAUCUUGAUCUAGCAUUGCUUGUUGAAAGACCUACAAACUUGAAUGAUAAGAGCACCAUAGAACAAAUCAAUAAAAUGAAUGCUUAGGUAAGAUUUAAUAGACUCAGUCUAAUGUUUAUAAAAUUGAUAAUUGUAAAUAAUAUAAAAAAAUUAUUAUCACUUACAACUAGCAUAUAAGAAUAUUUAAAGGCUAUAGAAGAUAGAUUAAAUUUAUUGAUAAGUUAUUAGCUGACAUAUUAAUGAAAGAAUUGACUAUAGUUCAAUAUAACAAUACUCAAGGGAUUCAGGAUUACAUCCUUAAUAUGAUUAAUAAGGUUGUGAAAUUUAAAAUGUUUGACAUGAAUGUAGAUGAGUUUUUUUUCAUCCAAUUCAUUUUUAAUUCUCUUCCUCCUUAGUUUGGUAUUUUCAAGAUUUACUACAAUAUAAAUAAGGAUAAAUGAGACAUAAAUGAGUUAACUAGUAUAUAUAUCAACGAAGAAUUAAUAUUAAGGUAGAAAAGAUCUUAUAAUAUUUUGAUUAUUACUCAAAGAGUUAGUAACAAGAAAAGAAGGUUGAAGUAUCAUCUACCAAAUAAAUUUAUCGGGUCUGAAAAUACUAGUAGAUUAAUAAAAAGAAAACAUUCUUAGUAAAGUAUUUCUUUUGUGGUAAGAAAAGAUGUGAAAAGAGAUUUCAUUAAAUGCAAGGUUUGAUUUGAAAAGAAAGAUAUAAACUUAACCAUUGUAUGUUUCGAAUUAGAUAUUACAAAGGUUUUUUCUAAUACUUAGUUAAUUGAUUCUGAUCCUCCAUCUCAUAUUACUAAUAAUAUGUAAUUAUUUUUUUCAACCCAAAAGUCAAAAGAACAUGAAAGGUUCGUUAUUGUGAGGAAUUAUCUUAAACAAAAGUAAUUGUAGUAGGAACUUAUCAUUUAUACUUAAAAGACGAGUUAUCUAAUGAAUUUUACGGACACAUGCUAUGUUUUUAGUAUUUCAAAAAAAUUAGUUUCUCAAUCUAGAAUUGAUAAGUUAAAAUAUUUUAUUUCUUUUGGUGAUAGUAAACUUAGUAUACUUUAUGAUUAAGUAAAAGUUAGUUUUGAAAUUCUAUACAAUGGUUUAUAUAAAAUUAGUUUAAAAUUUGAGUUUGUAAAGACAUUGAUGAUAAGAAAUCUUCUAUCUUGCGAUCGAGAAGUUUGGGGCAUAUCUCUAAGAAAAAAAUUAAAAGAUUAUUGAAUGAUGAUAUUUUGAAAGAUUUAGACUUUAUUGAUUUUGAUGUCUUAUUCAAAUAUAAAGAAAAAUACUAUAAGAAGUAAAGAACUAUAUGAGAUAUUUACGGAUCACUUCAUGUUUUCUAUUUUAGUGAAGAGAGAUAUUUUAUCAUAUUUAUAUAUAACCUAAUAAGACAUGACUAUGUAUAUCUAAUAUAUAAAAAGUUUUAGGCUAUAUCAAGAUGUGGUCAAAGGUUUUUUUAAAAAAGAAGACAUUAAUUAUAAUGAAAUAGUUUUUUCGGUUUCUAGAAAGGACUCAUCGAGGAUCAUUAUGAUAUUUGUAGCCCAUUAUGAUAUUGAGUUAUAUCAAAUAAAUAUAAAAAUAAUAUUUUUUAAUGAGAAUUUAGAUGAGAAAAUAUGCAUAGAAUAACAUAAAGAAUUUAUAAAGAAAGGAAUGGAAUGUUCGGCUUACAAAUUUAGGAAAUUUAUUUAUGGCCUUAAACAAACUUUCGAAUAAUGAUAUAUAUAAUUUUAUAAUAUAAUUACUUUCUUCAUAUUUAAGAAAAUAUUAUUGAUUAACACACACACACACACACACACACACACACAUAUAUAUAUAUAUAUAUAUAUAUAUAUAUAUAUAUAUAUAUAUAUAUAUAUAUAUAUAUGAAGGUUAGUGGAACAAAUUUAUUAUAUUAGUCUUAUAUAUGAAUAAUAUUUUACUAGUAAAUUUACAUAGAAUAACAUAAAGAAUUUAUAAAGAAGGGAAUGGAAUGUUCGGCUUACAAAUUUAGGAAAUUUAUUUAUGGCCUUAAACAAACUUUCGAAUAAUGAUAUAUAUAAUUUUAUAAUAUAAUUACUUUCUUCAUAUUUAAGAAAAUAUUAUUGAUUAACAUAUAUAUAUAUGAAGGUUAGUGGAACAAAUUUAUUAUAUUAGUUUUAUAUAUGAAUAAUAUUUUACUAGUAAAUUUAUUGCAUGAAAUCAAGAUAUUUCUUGUCAAGAAUUUUAAGAUGAUUGAUAUGAAUAAGACAACUUAUGUUAUUAGUAUUAAAAUAUUCAGAGAUAUAUCUCAAGGAUUGUUAAGACCAUCUUAAAAAAGAUGUAUUGACCGAGUCUUAGAGAAAUUUAAUAUGCGACUUUGUUCAUCUAAUAAUAUAAUAUUACUAGAGGUGAAAUUCAAUCAAAACUAGUAUCCUAAGAAUGCUUAGAAAAGAUUCACAUGAAAGAUAUUCCUUAUGUAUGCAUAGUUAAACAUCUAUUAUAUACUCAAAUUAUUGGGGGACCAUAUAUCAAUUGAAAUGUUAGAUAGAUACUCGAGCAAUCUAGGAAUAAAACAUUAAAAAUCUGUAAAAAAAAGUGAUGAGAUAUCUAUAGAGGAUAAAAGAUUAUAUACUCAUAUACAAGAGAUUAGAUCAACUUAAAUUAAUAAAAAUUUUAAAUAUUAAAUUUAUAAAUUAUCUCAAUAAUAAGAAAUCUACUUAAGGAUUUAUAUUUAUAUUAGCUAAAGGGGUAAUUUCUUAGAAAAUUAUAAAGCAAUCGUUUAUUGUAUCAUCAAUAAUAUAAGCUAAAUUUAUAAUAUUCUUUGUGGUCACGAAUCAAGUUUUAUGGUUAUAAAAUUUUAUCUUCAGAUUUAGUGUGAUAGACUCAAUUGUCAAGCCAAUAAAAAUAUUUUUUGAUAAUAUUAUAGUAGUUUUAUUCUCUAAUAAUAGUAAGUAUUUUAGUGGUUCUAACUAUAUUAAGAUAAAAUACUUUGUUGUUAGAUAAAGAGUCCAAAAAUAAUAAGUAUAGAACCUUAAUAUCACUAUGAUGAUUGAUGAUUUAUUUACUAAAGCAUAAGGAACAUAUUCUUAUAAUGAGGCUUAUAAGCAAUUUAUAAAUAUAUGAUGAUAUAUAUUUAAGUGAAUAUAUAUUUCUCUUUGUUUACUUAGUUAAAGUUAUUUAUUUUUAUUAUCUUGUCUAUAUUUAUGUAUAUACAUAUUAUAGUUGAAUGUGAUAAUAUGAUUGUUUAAUAAGAUAAAUUAUAAAGAUCAUUAUGAAUUAUAUUAGAAAAAUAUAUAAAGAUCAUUGUGAUAUAUAGAAGAAAGUAUAACAUUGAUGACAUACAAUUGUUAUAUUUAUUAGAUUUAUUGGUUUGUUGUAUAAAAUUCAUGCACACAUGUAAAAUAUUUUUUAAAACUUUUAGAAUAUAAUUUAGAUAAAUUAUUUUAAAUAAAAUUUUAUUUUAUUUAUUUUAACUUUAUUUUUUUAUAUUUUAAAAAUUAAUAGAUCAGUGAAUGUUAGAUUAUAUGAUCAUAUUUAAUUGAGUAAGAUAUAUUAUAGAUUUAAUUAGAUUCUGAUUAUGGUUAUUAGUCAAUAAAAAAUAAGUUUAAUUAUAGUAGGAUUUUUAUGAGAUGAUCUUAAUAGAAGGAAUUUUUUCUAAUUACUCACAGUAAGAUUUCUUAUAAGAUUAUCUUGAUGAAAGAGAAUUUUCUAAUUACUUAUCAUAUGUUUUCUGUUUUCAUUUAUAAAUAGAUAAAAUAGACUAUAUAUGAUACAUUAUCAAUUUUUAAUUUCUUAUUGUCUUAUUCCAUCCAGAUCUAUUUUCAAUAGGUCUUAUCUCAUUACUUAUUAUCAUGUAAAAGAUACGAAGAAAAAAAAAAAGAGUCUAAUUCUUUUUAUAGAUAAAAAUCAUUGUAGCUUUUGUAUUCUAUUUCCAUUAUAGAUUAAUAUAACUGUAAUAUUUAAUCAGAUGAUAAUUCAUCGAUUUAUAAAUCAAUUAAUUUUUUUUUGAAUAACUAGAGAUAGAUACAUCUAAGUUUUGAUAUAUGAUUACUUGAUUUUAAUUCUUAAUAUUAAAUUUUUUUAACAAAAAUAUGAUUAUGAAUUUUAUGCUCAUAUAAUUUUUUUAAUCAACACACGUGGCAUCUUUAUGCAUACAGGUGUCACUGACGGGCAUCCUGGAAAUGAAGGGCACGCAGUACACUCACGCAGACCAAAUAAGUGGCGACCAGCACGGUACACUGCUGGCGGCAAACACCAUGGGCGUCUACCACGACCAUUUCGUCACCUUCCACCUCGACCUCGACGUCGACGGUCCGGACAACUCCUUCGUCAAAUCGAAGCUCAAGACCGUGAGGGUGACCGACGACAGCUCGCCGAGGAGGAGUUACUGGACGGUGGCGAAGGAGACGGCGAGGACCGAGGCCGACGCCCUGGUGGAGCUCGGCGCCGAGCCGGCGGAACUGCUGGUGGUGAACCCGAGCAAGAAGACGAAGAUGGGGAACGACGUGGGUUAUCGUCUGAUCAGCCACGGUGCGACGGCGGCCUCUCUGCUCUCCGACGACGAUUACCCUCAGAUCAGGGCGAGCUACAGCAAGAAGCAGGUGCGGGUGACGGCCUACAACAAGUCCGAGAAGUGGGCGGCCGGGCUUUACGCCGACGAGAGCAGGGGAGACGACAACUUGGCUGCAUGGACCGCGAGGUACGUCCUUUCACUACUAAAUUCUAUGGAGGAUUGGCGAAAGCUCGAAGACGAACCAUUUGUGCGUUAUUUGCAGGAAUCGAGUGAUAGAGAACACAGACAUCGUGCUGUGGUACACAGUAGGCGUUCAUCACGUACCAUAUCAAGAAGACUUUCCGGUGAUGCCGCUAUUGAGCGGCGGCUUCGAGCUACGACCUGCCAACUUCUUUGAGAGCAAUCCAUUGAUCAAGACUCCAGCUAACAAGCUAGUGCAUCUGCCCAACUGUCCCAGGAAUCCGUAGAAGCGGGCAGAGCGACCAUGAACACCUUGGAACUUGGCAUCAACGUUGUACGAAUGAUUAAGUUAUCUUCACCUAAUGACUAUAAUACCCUCACCCACGAAUACGGACUCAAUUAUCAUAUUUUAUAUGAAUAAUUUUUAGAAAUGCAAUUACUCAAUUAAACUCAUAGCGUUUACUAUUGGAUACAAUUUAUGGGUACACGUGAGGAUAAAAUAGCACUUUGACUCGGCAAUAGAGCUUUUUGACAUGGUUUUAUAUCUGAAAUUAAAUAUAGGGGUAUUUUGGUAAGGAAAAUAAUCGACAGGGGUAUUGGUGUUAUUUGGUAGAUUAGUUAGGGUAGUUAUAAUCGGAAAAAGCAAAGAAACCUUCUCACCUACAGCUCCCCCUCCUCCCAAAUCCCACGCGCACCAGCGAUGGGCUCCCUCCGCUUCCGGUUCUCGCUGCCUCGGCCCCCGAAGCCACCGCGCGGGUCCACGGGUGCGACCUCGUUCCGCCUAGCCGCGGCGGCCAUCGGUGCCGGAAUAGGCUUUGCCGUGGGCUUCUCCCUCGAAUCGGCCGCAGACACGUCCGGAUCCCGCCGGAAGCCGUGGAGCCACGCCUCCCCCAUUUGGGCCUCCCUCUCCCUCGCUGAUGGCCCCACGGGGACCUCCGUGGAGCCGAGGACUGGCGCGGCCUUCCCCACCGUUUUGGACGGCGGCCGGCGCCUCACCGGGAUCGGGCUGCGCAAGACCAGUGUCUUGGGGCUCAAGAACAUUGAUGUCUAUGCAUUUGGUAACUUUUCUGAAGAAUCUGUUGGUUAAUUUUGGAAAUGUGCAUAGUUUUGGGAUCGCAAUUGAGGUUUGUUUGUUGAUCUAGAUUUCUUCGCCUCCUCUCGAAUGUUUAGCUUUCAAAGUUUGUCCUGUUUCUUCUCUUGGCGACUUCAAUAAAAAUUGUACCUUUCUGGGCUUCUUCUUAUAUUUUAUGACUCCUUCUGAACUGGAAAUCGCCCUUGUUUCUUUGUCAUUCUUCGAUUGUGAUGUGUAAUGGAGUUCAUGGAGGUCUUGACAUUUCAGUUUCAAUGCUCGACGACUUAUUUCAGUUCCAUUUGGUUAAACAAAAAAGAAAGAACUUUUUAUGGAAUUGGGUUGAACAGGUUCGAAAUAUUAUUAUUAGGCUGCUAAAUUGGCGAUUAAUGUCUUUAGCAAUAUUUUUUGGUUUGUAAUUCCCAAUAUCUACCUCAAGCCACCGAUGUUAUGCAUCUAUCAGACACACCACACUAGUAGGACACUUCUUCAUCAAAUUAGAUCUUCAUCAUCCAGAAGCUUCUCCAUUGUAAUGAUUUAUGUCAUGAGUUGCAUGACAAUUCACCGGCCAAUUCGUUUGAGUUGCAGUGGGUGCUGUAUCUGAUCAGAAUGUAGCAGUGAAUUGUCGAUUCUCUAAUUCAUGCAGGAGUUUAUGCUGACGACAGUGAUAUGAAAGGAUUGCGUGAGAAAUAUGGCACAUUUUCAGUUUCUGAACUGGAGGAAAAUAAGGAGUUUAUUUCAGAUGUCCUGGAUCAGGAUUUACGCAUGACAGUUAGGCUUCAAAUAGUAUACAACAGACUGAGCAUAGGCUCUGUGCGGAAUGCAUUUGCAAAGACAGUAGGAAGUAGGAUGCAAAAGUUCAGUGGAUCAGACAACAGAGAAUUGCUUCAAAGGUACUCUUUUUCUGCUUGUUUCAUCGAACUCAUUAUAUUUUGUAUUAUGAAAUUUGGUAUGGGAGACAAUUAUGAGAUAGACCCAUCAGUUUCUUAAAUCAUUAAAUUUAACUUUUUAUGAUUGUAGUAAUUUACAUCCUGCAAGAAACCAACUGUCAUUAGUCAAGUGAUUUAUAUUAGAAAAAUACAAAUGGAUGAUAUGAUAGGUUUAUUUAUCUAGAAGAUAUGAGGCAAAUUUUAUCUUCCGGAAACUAAGAAGACAUUAGGAUAUGAAGCUGGACACUGAAACAUUCUUUCUGUCUUGCUGUAAGUUUUGCGUAUUCUGCUGUAAUAUUGCAUUCCUUCCAAAUUUAGUAUUUAAAUACAUACUUUUUACUUUGACUUCGUGCUAUCUAUCCAUUCAGCGACAACUUCAUUUAAUAUUUUCUUUUCUGUUCAUAUUGUAAAGGAGGUGAACAUUGUAAAAAAAUGUCCUGCAUUAUGUAAUUUUGUUGUAAACUAGAACUACGGAACAUAGUUAUAUUGGACAAUGACCUGAAUAUAAACCAGUUAAUGAGAUUCAAUGUUUUAUUUGAGAAUAACUGUUAUAAGUUGCUUUAUAUCUCUCUGUUGAUCAUUAAAAUUCACCUGUUUCAGGUUUACUUCUUUAUUUAAAGAUGAAUAUAAGCUCCCAAGGGGUUCUGUGAUAGAUCUUUCAAGGGAACAAGGUUACGUUCUUCAAAUAAGAAGUAAGUUGUAUUAUUGUCAGUAAAAAAUUGAUUUUUGUUGGUCUAUUACUAUUGUCUCCUAUCAAGAAUGAAAUAAGCUAUUAUUUAUAUGUUCCAAGACAAUAUGGGAUGAUUGCUGUUUAUUGUUUUUAUCGGUGAAAUCAAUGAAUAUACAGCAUAUUUUUAGUCAUCAAAUGCUUUAGUUGAGUAAUAGAGAUAAAUUUCAGUACCUAUUGAUGUAGAUUGGAUUGGCUACCUUCUCUUAUACUGGCUUCCAUAAGUGCUGUGGUUAAUUUAUUAUAAUACCAUUAUUUUUUUAUAGGUUUCUUCACACUAGUUUAGCUUUCUCUAGGAAAUUCAUUUAAGUUGGAGUAUAUCAAUUGGUUUUUGCAUUGCACAAUGGACUUUUUUCUCUUUUUUAUUAGAUCAAAGGAGAAUAAGUCAAAUGUCUUGUACCUUUGGAUCUACUCUUGAAUAUGUAAUAUUUGCAGUCUUUGUUUCACUUCCUCACUUCCUGUUGCGUCAGUUGCAUUCUUAUAUUUGGUAGAAUUCUCCUGUUAAUGGGCACUAUUCAAUACGACUUCCUUGAAACUGACCACAUUUGUUGCAUCCUUGUUAUAUUUUUUAUUUUCCUAAAAAGAUUUUCAGUUCUGCAAAAUUGGUUUGAAGUAAUUCCUGCAAGACAAACAACCAAUGUCCUCCAUAGUCCAUAUAAUUUGCAUCUGACUGGUCUGUUCAGUUCCUUUUUACAUUUUGCAUGUUACCUUUCCUUUCAGAGGCUUAAUCCUCAUAUGACAUUUAACUGAGUUGGUUUACAUGGCAAUCCUGAUCUCUUACAUCAUAUUAAUGUACAUUAUCUUAUUUUAGGUCAACAUUAUCUCGGUUAACACAUAGAUGUUUCUAGCUGUGCUGCAGAUAAAAUUUGUGGAUAAUUGGUUUUUUUUUGUGCACAAAUAUUUGAUUUUAUGUAUAGUCAAAGGACUAAGAAGUUCACUUCAUGUAUAUCCAGAAAUAAAGCCCUGUCCAACUUUUUAGUACUUAUUUAGUGAAACUACUUGAGCACUGAAAACAUUCACAUGAGGAACACAUUAUAUAUUACUUUCAAGUGCAUACAUGUUAUUUGCCCAUAGGAUUAUUGUGUUUUUUAGUUUUUAAGCUUAUGAUACUUGUCUUUGCAGUUGGUGGGAAGGAAGUGGGGGAAAUCCAGAGCAAGCUUUUGUGUAAGUCAGUGUUGGAUCUAUACUUUGGCGAGGAUCCAUUCGACAAACGAGCUAAAGAGGAUAUUCAGUCUGGUCUGGCUUCCAUUCUGCAGGAGAGAUGUGAUUAACAGCUUCAUUUUCUUCAACAAAGAUCUCAAAUAUUGAAUACAACAGUCCUUUUGUUGUCUACAGUCGAUUUUUGUAUCAGAAGUAAUUUACCUAAUUCCCAACAAUCAAACAUGCUUCAAACCUUCUUUGACGUGCGUUAUCAAUUAUCGUUACUUCUGACAUGCCAUUGUCUCAGGCCAUGAACUUAACGUACCUUCGUUAACCAUAUGUUAUGGUUAAAGUGUGGUUACAUAUACAGCAGGGUGCAUACAGUGAUACAAUGUGACGUGCUUGUACAUGUCUUCACAAUGCUCUGUCAUUGGCAGGAAACAUGAACUGGCGACCAACUUCCAAGUAUUCUCUUUUUGAUGAUUUAUGUAAGAUUCUUUUGGGAUAUGUUCCUGCCACCUGAUCCAGUUGGAUGUACUCUGGCUCCGCAUAAAUUUCCAUCAGGUUUUACAUGAAGCAACUUAAUCUUAUGGAUGUUCUUGAGAGGGUAGAAACUACCGUAAUGUUGAUUUUCUGUUUUCUGAUAGCUUUCUGUGAAUUUGUGCAGGAGGAAAGAAUUAUUUCUACUUGGAUCAUCCAUUGUUGCAUGGCUGCUGCAUGACCUAAGUUGCACAUGAACUGCAGGUAAACCAUGGUUUCAUUUAAUUUGCAAUCACACACAGAACAUGUGAUGUUUUAAUGAUCAUUAAAGCUUAUGUGAUACAUGAUGAUAAAAUCUUCGAAAAAGUUUAUCAUGGCAAAGAUGAUCGAUAACCUUGAUUGAAUUACAAUAAAAUCUUUGAAAAAAUUGUCAUGAUGAUCUGUAGCCUUGGCUGAUAGGCCACAGGAUCAAAUUUCUUUCUCUAUCUAUUUUUUUCCUUCUACCUUACAAAUUCUUGUGAUGAUAAUAAUACUGUCUUUUACUAGAUUUUAUAAUAUAUGGAAAAUGUUACUCUGUUAAAAUUCAAGGUUUGGUCCCUUUUUUUUCUACAGGAUUUGGCUGAACUUGGUUAGGGUUUGGGAGUCCAAAUCAAAGUUGAGAUUUGGUGCAGGUUGAACCCAAAUGCCAAAGUGGUAGACCUAGAAGAAUUAUAGUAGUAAUAAACUUGAUAGAUUGAUCUCUUUCACAUGUGACUGAGGUCCCAAAAUGUUGUCAGAUCCCAUUUGUUUGGUGUGACCCUAAGAUACAACAUGAAGUAGGUGUUCUCCAAAAGACAGGAUGAACAACCCUGCGUGCCCCCAUGGGUGUUCUACAAAAGAGAGACAAAAAGUUACACCUUGACUGGGAAGAGACUACCCUAAUUGAAGUUGGUAAUUACUUUUAACUUUCGCAUAAUAAGCCCAAAUCUACAAGCCUCAUGUGUAAUUAGUAUGAUAGUGGUGUAGUGUUGUUAAAAAUCUUUAUUAACAAUAAAGUAAUAAAAUCUUGUCUUCACCAUUAUUUACUCUGCAUGAAACAUUGAGAGGUUAUAUUCUUUUUAUUUUUUCUGGUCUUUCUCCUUUUUUUUGUGUUUUAACAGGAGGAUUAAAUUAUUGAAAGGUGACUCCCCCAAAUUGUUCUACAAUGUGAAAUCAUCUAACAUAGGAAUUAAAAAAUUACAUACUCUAAUUCAGAAUCAUCAUAAAGGAAGAUUAUAUAUAUAUAUAUAUAUAUAUAUAUAUAUAUAUAUAUAUAUAUAUAUAUAUAUAUAUAUAUAAUGGGGUGGGUGUUACUUAGUAGUAUAAAGCGCUGUACUACCUCUCGUCGUCAAAAGAGAGUGCUAAUAGCCACAAGUGUGGAGAAGGCCAAUGGCGAUGGUAGCGGCGUUGGUGGUGUUCCUGCUCGUCGCCGGCGUUGGGCGGUCGGAGAGUGUGAUUUACAAGGUGGGGGAUGCCGUGGUGUCACGGACUUAGCUGGUUUUGCCUAAGUCGUGCGGCACCCUUGCGUGUCCAUCCGCAAAGGUCAGCCUCUCCGAAGCCUCCUAUAUCCCUUAGGAUCCACAAAAGAGAGAACGGGUUAGAGAGAACGCCUCAAUCGGGAUCCACAAGCAAACAUCUCCGAAAAAUACUUCAUAGACAAUGCAAAUUACAAACAGACUUUACGAGCUCUGAACAGUUGCACAACAAAUGGUAAAAUGGUCCAUUACAGAUCAAAAAUCUCUCACACGUGUCCACAUGACACAACCUUUAUUUACAAGCCUAAAGCGGCCACCAACCCUACUAAAAUGGGACUAUUAAGCCUUCGACCGUCCCUCUACAUACUGUACAAAGCAUGAACAUACCAAAAGACACGGACAUACAUAAGUAUUACAUCAAAUAUCCUGUUUCGAAAUUUGUCCGUGACAGUGGGGUGGACCAUCCUGGGGAGCCCAAACUACACGGCGUGGUCCUUGUCCAAGAACUUCAAAAUGGGAGACACCAUUGGUUGGUCUUCUCCUUCUUUCUGCUCUCCUUUCUUUUGUGACAAGUCUUGUAUGUUGCAGGUGUUCCGUACUUCUUUCUUUCUUCUUGAAUUCAUGUGCUUAUCCUUUUGGAAGCAUUUGAAACUUGGUGACAGCACUCUUUUCGUUCUUUCUCUUUCGGCUUUCUUCGAAGCAAAGAUUGUAUGAUAGCCUGCAAAACUUUUCUUGUUUUUUGUCAUUUCUCUUACUCUGAGUUCUCACUCUCUCUCUCUCUCUCUUUCGUUUUUUAGCUCAACAUGUUCUUGUUUUUUUUUUUUUUUGUGUUGAUUUCUUGAUCUUUCUAACCAUCUUCUUGGAAAUCUUUGAAGCUUUCGACUAGGAAACACCACUUCCAAGUGUUCUUUUAGUUUCGUCUUUCUCCAAAGACUGUACCUAAGGCCUGCAAAACUUCCCUCUUUUUGUUAUUUCUUGGUCCCUGGUUUCUUACUCUCUCUCUCUCUUCUUUUGCUUCCGUUUCAGUUCAACAUGUCUUUUCUUUAGCGUGGGUGGAUUUUUUUUUUUUAAUCUUUGAUGCACCUUUAACUAUCUUUCUGGAAAUCUCGAAACCUUCCAACGAGGAAACAUCACUGCUGAGCUUAUCUUUUUACUUCAUCCUCCUUUCUUUAAAUAUGUUCCAAAGAUUGCAUGAGAGAGCCUGCAAAACUUUUCUCCUUUUUUUUUUUUUGAUAUUUCUGUGUCCCUGGUUUCUCACUCUCUCUCUUUUCCUCUUCUUUUUCAGCUCAAGAUGUCUUUUCUUUGGGUGUGUGUGUGUGGAUUUCUUGAUCUUUGGUGUUUGGUGUAUCUUUAACACCAUCCUUUUGGAAAUCUUUGAAACUUCCAACUGGGAGAACACCAUUGGGUAAUUUUUGUUUUCAGUUCUUUACCCUUUGUUUUUCCUAUAAUUCUUGAUCCUUGUUUGAUGUAGCUACAACUUAGUUUAUUUUGGGAAAUGCUUCAGUGAGAUCUUUGUGAUUUAUUAUGAACAACAAAGAAUGGGUCAAUCUAAGAUGAUGAACUAGUUGUUGGAAGUAAACUUGUUCAAGUAUCCUAAAGAGGUUCAUUUCAUCAAAAGAAAGAUUCAUUGUAUCAAGAGAGAUUCAUUACAUCAAGAAGAAAAAAUAAAUUAAAAAUCUAUAAAAGGAUAAGUCAAAUUGGUUAUUGGUUCUUGAAAGAGUUUCUUGAAAGAGAAUGAUUCAUCUUGAAUAUAAUUAAUGUAAUGUAUCUUUGGGGACUAUAUAAACCUCAUAUGUUAGGUCAUGAGAGAAAGAGAGAGUUUCUGAAAUUGUAAAGUGUUUUUUUUAAGAAAAAUAUAGAAGAUUGAAGCUUGUCCUACUCUUUUUCUGUUUGAUAACUCCAUCUCCUCUUCCUAUCAACAUUAACAUUUGGUAUCAGAGCAUAGGUUAAGUUAUGACCUCUUUAUCAAGUGUCAUCCAACUCCAGAUCUCCAGAUUGAUAAAAGAAAAUUAUGACAUAUGGUGCAUCCAAAUGAAGGUUUUUCUAGGCUCCCAAGAUGUAUGGGAGUUUGUAGAAGAUAGAUUUGCUGAACCAAGUCCAGCAGAAGAAGGAGCAAUGAGUGUAGAAGGAAGAAAACAACUCAAAGAAAGAAGGAAGAAGAAGAAAAAAAGCUUUGUUCACAAUCUACCAAGGGCUUGAUGAUACAAUAUUCGAGAUCAUCGCUCCAACAAAUACUUCAAAGGAGGCCUGGAAAAUGCUUCAAAAAGCAUUCGGUGGUGUUGAUAAGGUAAAGAAACUUCGUCUACAAAUUUUAUGAGUCGAGUUUAAAAAAUUACAACAAGGUACUUCUGAAACUAUUUUUGAUUACUUCUCAAAAAUCAUUUCUAUUGUUCAUCAAAUAAGAUGAAAUGAUGAACAAGUAAAAGAUCAGAGAGUAAUAGAAAAAAUAUUGAGAUCUCUAGAUCCGAAAUUUGAUUUUAUUGCUGUUGCGAUCGAAGAAUCUAAAGAUUUGGAAAAAAUGUCUUUAGAAGAACUUAUGGGUUCCUUUCAAGUUCAUGAACAAAGAAUUACAAAAAAAAGGAGAAGACAAAACUAUGAAGUAGGCACUACAAGCUAAGUUUGCUCUUGAAAAUAAAGGAGAAUCAAAUUCUCAAAGAGGAAGAGGACUAGGACAAAGAGGAAGAGGAGGCAGAAAUCAAACAAAUAAAGAAUCUCCAAAUAAUGAAGAUGCUAGAGAAAAUUCUAGCCAAAGAGGUCGAGGUUAUGGCCGAGGCCGUGGACGUGAUAGAAACUUUAAAAGGUCUGAAAUACAAUGCUAUGUUUGUAAAAGGUAUGAACAUUACUCUUAUGAAUGUUAUUAUAAUCCUAACAAUCAAGGUGAUAAGGUAAAUUUUGUUGAGGAAGAAAAAAACGAAAAUCAAGUUUUGCUAAUGAGUUAUGAUAAUUUGAAAGAGGAUCAGUCUAUGAUAUGAUUUCUAGAUACAGGAGCCUCAAAUCACAUGUGUGGCAUGAAAGAGUUAUUUUCAGAAAUGGAUACAAGUUAUUCCGGGAACAUUACAUUUGGUGAUUUGUCUCAAAGACCAGCAAGAGGCAAAGGUAAAAUUCUCCUUGAACUUAAUAAUGGCAAGGAAUUAUGCAUUUCAGAUGUUUAUUAUGUUCUUGAUAUGAAAAAUAAUAUUCUAAGCUUGGGACAAUUACUUGAAAAAGGUUAUGAUGUUGAGAUGAAAGAUAUGACUCUCUUAAUUCGUGACAAGAAUAAAACAUUAAUAUCAUAUGUGAAAAUGACAAAGAAUAGAAUGUUUCCUCUACAUUUAAGUAUUUUUGAUCAAUCAAAUUGUUUUAAAGCUGAUAUUGAGGAUAUUUCUAUAUUUUGACAUCUUAGAUAUGCUCACUUAAAUUUUGAGGCUUUGAAACUUGUAGAGAAGUAUAAUAUGGUGAUAGGAAUGCCAAAAAUUGAUCGCCCAACAAAAUUGUGUGAAGUGUGUGUCAUGAGUAAGCAAGAAAGAAAACCUUUCAAAGUGAGGACAAAAAGAGCAUGAAAUUGACUUGAUCUGGUGCACUCAGAUGUUUGUGGCCCUAUCAAUCCAGUAUCACUUGGAGGAAGCAGGUAUUUUCUUACCUUCACUGAUGAUCAUAGUGGAAAAACUUGGGUUUAUAUGUUAAAAGAAAAGAAAGAAGUUUUAAGUAAAUUCAAAGAAUUUAAGGAUUUGGUUAAAAGACAAAGUUGUUGUAAGAUUAAAUGUUUAAGAACAGAUAGGGGUGGUGAAUAUAUAUCAAAUGAAUUUGAAAGUUUUUGUAGAAAUCAUGAAAUUUUAUAUCAAUUCAUCAUGCCAUAUACACCUCAACAAAAUGGUGUCUCAAAAAGGAAAAAUAGGACUAUCCUUAAUAUGGUCCGAUGCAUGUUAAAGGAAAGAAAAAUUCCUAAAGAAUUUUGGGGUGAUGUUGUUGCUUGUGCAGUUUAUUUGCUUAACAGGUUUCCGACAAAGCGGAUUAGUAAUGUGACACCAGAAGAAGCAUGGAGCUUACAAAAACCAAGAGUUGAUCAUUUGAAGAUUUUUGGAAGUGUUACAUUUGCUAAGAUACUAGAAGAAAAGAGAACAAAAUUGGAGGAUAAAAGUCAGAAAUGCAUUUUGCUAGGUUAUCCAGAGAAUUCCAGUGGUUACAAACUCUACAAUCCUAUUACAAAUAAAGUUGUGAUGUCAAGAGAUGUUGAGUUUGAUAAACAACAGAUUUGGAACUGGAAAAGUGAUGAGUAGCAUAAGAAAGCUAUAGUUGAAGAAGAAGAUAUAAUACAAGCAAGCACCGAAAUAGCUUUGCCGGAAUCAUUACCUAGAUCAGUUAGGUCGCAUGAUUCAAGAAGUCCAAUUAUAAGAAGGACAAGACCAAUUCAAGAGUUAUAUGAUGUGACUCGAAGGAUUGAUACUAACAAUGAUGAACUUUCUUUAUUUUGUCUUUUUGCAAGAUAUGAUCCAUUAACCUUCGAAGAAGCUUAUAGAGAUAAAAAAUGGCGACAAGCUAUGAAUGAAGAGACUCAUGUCAUUAACAAAAAUAAUACAUGGGAGCUUACUACACUUCCAGAAGACCACCAAGCUAUCGGUGUUAAGUGGAUCUUCAAAACAAAAAGAAAAACAAAAGGAGAGGCGGAGAAAUACAAGGCUAGAUUGGUUACGAAGGGAUAUAAACAACAAUAUGGGAUUGAUUAUGAAGAAGUAUUUGCGCCAGUUGCUUGAUUGGAGACAGUAAGAUUAUUUAUCUCUCUAGCAGCUCAAAUGAAAUGAAAAAUUUUACAAAUGGAUGUCAAAUCAACAUUUCUUAAUGGAGUUCUUAAAGAAGAAGUAUAUAUAUUCAACAACCCCUGGUUUUAUUAUUCAUGAAUAAGAAGACAAAGUAUACAAGUUAAAGAGAGCUCUUUUUGGGCUUGAACAAGCCCCACGAGCAUGGAAUUCUCGAAUAUAUGCUUAUUUUAUUCAAAAUAUUUUUUCUAAAUGUUCACAUGAACAUGCUCUCUAUACAAAAUCUAACUCUAAUGGAGAUAUCUUGUUUGUAUGCCUGUAUAUAGAUGAUUUAAUAUUUACAGGCAAUAGUAGCUCUAUGAUUAAAGAUUUUAAGCAUUUUAUGAAAAAGGAGUUUGAGAUGACCGACUUGGGCAUAAUGACUUAUUUCCUUGGUAUUGAAGUUAUACAAGAUAAUGGAGGAAUUUUUAUCUCACAAGAAAAUUAUGCAAAGGAGAUUUGAAAGAAGUUUUCUAUGGAAGAUUGUCAUCCUACAGAUACACCUGUUGAAUAUGGCACUAAGUUGACUAAGGAAGGUGAAGGUAAAUACAUUAAUCCAACUUAUUAUAAAAGUCUAGUUGGAUGUUUAAGGUAUUUGACAUGCACUCGACCUGAUAUACUAUUUGGAAUUGAUUUAAUAAGUAGAUAUAUAGAAGUUCCUAAGACAUCUCAUUUAAAUAUAGCUAAAAGAAUUUUACGAUAUAUUAAAAGAAUAAUUGAGUAUAGAAUGUUCUAUUUAUUAUCUAAAAGGUUAGAGCUUAUUGGAUAUAGUGACAGUGAUUGGACCGGAAGCUACGAUGAUCGGAAGAGUACAACUGGAUUUGUAUUUUAUUUUGGUGAAGCUAUAUUCACUUGGUCUCCACGCCGGCAGCUGCCCCUCGGUCUAGCAGUGGCCCAAGGUGUGUUGCCAAGGUGUUCGUUAUCGGUCUUGCUGUGUUUUCCUUUGCUGCAGUGUCUGUCUGGUGGCCUUGUUAGGCAGUAGUUGUAGUAGCGGUGGGUGCCAAUGUGAGGAACAAUCAAGAAAGAAAUGUUCAUCUUAACGGGGCUGAUGUGGUAAAUCUUGCUCUGUAAUUAGAAUAAUGACUUAAGUUGGUAAUGUCAAAUUUUCUCCUACUGAAUGCUGGUUGGUAAUCUUGACGUAGAAUAUGAGAUAAGAGUGUUUAGUCAUAAUGAUAGCGUCCAACACACACACCCGAGAGAGAGAGAGAGAGAGAGAGAGAGAGAGAGGGGGCAGCUGUGGGAAUAUAAACGUACAACGCGAACGCAGUGUUCACCUGAAUACGAUGAAGAUGUCACAAGGCAAUUCUAAUCAUCCCGCCACAGCGGUUCUUCCGGCCGUUCCACCGCCACUCCACCUGUAGAGGUCGCGGUGAUGGUGCCUGCAACGGAAGGAUCGGGGAUGGUCCGUCGGAGAGCAGAUGCACCGCUUCGCCGACAGAGGCCGCGACGAAGCCGCCUCCGUUGCUGCCGUCGGCGGCGUAUGGCCCCGCUGCCGCCCCACGGCGUAGCUGCAGGAAACCAGGGGAUGACACAUACCUCGCUGCCGGUGGCGGUGCACGAGAAGGAGAAAGAGAGAGAAUGGAAGUUGUGG